RNAcentral lists this long non-coding RNA (80102 nucleotides) under Citrus x clementina. RNAcentral describes it as "Citrus clementina (C. clementina) long non-coding RNA (CCLE_LNC002393)". The record is from RNAcentral. Lineage: Eukaryota; Viridiplantae; Streptophyta; Magnoliopsida; Sapindales; Rutaceae.
UCAGACUUGGGGGAAAUUGGUAUUCAGACAGGACCAUCCGUGAGGGCUUGCUCUCAUUCACCAGCUUCAAGCAUUCAAGUUUGUGGAGUUCGCAAAGGCUUUUGGAAACCCCAGAUUGAUAGUAACUCAAAUCUCCAGAUAUCCGAAGAGUCUGAACACUAGGUAGUCUGCCCAAUAUAUCAGGAGUACAACUACUAGGGUUUAAAGCUGAUAUGAAAAUGAGAUUUUUCAGAGAGCUAGAAUAAUUUUUUGGAGGUGCGGGCAGAGUGAUAGAACCAAAGUUUAGAUGCAUGAGUUUUUGCAUCAUCCAAAUAUCCUCUGGUGACUGAUCUAUGUAGCUAGAUGGCAUUUCUAGUGUUUCAAGGUUUAAAAGGGUGCAUAGCAGUGAAGGAAGGCAUUUGAGCGAAGGGAUAUUCAAUUUCAAAUACUUCAAAAGAUAUAAAUUUUCUAAUCCGGGUGGAUAUUGGUCCAGGACUGCAGAACCCAUGUUCAAUACCCGAAGGUGUUUGAACUUUUUACAAAAAUUCUCGCAAUCUAUCAGAGCGAGAUGAUCGCUUGCCGAACUGUGAUUCAGAAAAGAUUGGAGAUACAUGUCAGAAUGUUCUAAAGAUAAAAACCCAGUCAGAUCUUCGGCAAUGACGCACCGUUUAACAUUUGCCACUCGCUCCUCUUCCCUGUCAUGCACCAAGACAAAUCCGGCCUUCUCUGCCACAAAAUACAAUGAAGUAUAUACAAAACUUGGAACAUAACACGCUUUAAUUGUGGCUCCGGCGCUUCUCUUACUCACUUGAAUGAAGCCGCGAUGGAUUAGUUCUUUCAAGUAAUGUUCGGCAGUUUCUUCACCGUUGUAUGGUAUGAAACCUUCAGCUACCCACAACUGAUAUAAUUGCUCCGUAGAUAUCUCAAUACUUGGAAGGAAGACACACAAAUAGAUGAAGCAGACUUUCAAGUAAAAAGGUAACUCCAUCACAGAAAAAAUUUGUCUCCAAACUGUCGGAAUCGCUUCGCCUUGAAGAUAAUUUUCUAAUGGCAUACUUCCAUAGUGUAGGAUGAAAAAUUGCCACGCUUCAUGCUUUAAUCUGAUCAAUGGUCCUCCAAAGAGCACUGAAUCACGCCGAAUCUUCUCUCCGUUUUCCAUUUCCAACGACGCAAGGAGCUGUGGAUCACUGACCAACAUCAAUACUCUGCUUCCAUUCUGAUUAUCAGGAAGAACUUCUUCAAGAUCACUCCAUAUCUCACUGUCAUCGAAGACAUCAUCAAGCACAAUAAAGUACUUCCUGUUUGUUAGGUAAUCUCGAAGAAUAGAUUUCUUCAAUUGAUAAUCUUCCCCGAUAAUUACACUAACCCGAGAUGGAGGCAUCACCGACUUGAUUAUGUCAUCCAAUAUCUUGCCAAAAACGUAGGUUAUAGAAACCCUGACCCAAGCAAGACAGUCAAAAUAGAACUUGACGUGGUUAUUAUUGUAAGUAUCUGCAGCAAAAACAGUCUUGUCGAAGCCACUGCUGUCGAGAAUUGCAACCACUGCAAGCCCAGAUGGUCCCUCAAUCAAUAGAUCAAACAACUCCUCCCUGCCCCUUUCAAAUUCAUUGAUAUCAAGCCGAGGUUGUCCCUCACUCAAUAGGCGAAUGAUUUCGUUACUUUUUUCACUGAUAUCAAAACCAUUGUCGCCGGGUGGAAGUUGUUGCAUCCGAUUUCUAAUAUCAAUGAUUUUAGUGUGGAGUCCAACAAGAAGAGCCAUAAUGAUGUUGAUGAUUUCGUUACUUUCACUUUCGUUUUCACUGUUUUGCUGCUGCAUGAUGUUGAUGAAGAAUGUGUCAAUGACUUCCUCAGAGUCACGGACAAAGUUAUUGAUGUCCUUCAGAAUUUCAAAAAUAUCUGCUGUUUCAACGUCUUCUUCAUCGCUUUCUUCUAAGUCCAACAGUUGCAAAAAAGGCAAAGAUAUUUUGGAGUCAUCGAAUUCUUCUCUAAUGAGUUGAAACAAAUGCCGAGCCAUGUCAGCUUCAUAAUUUCCCAGCAGAGUAGUAGCAAUAAUUUCGGACUCCGUAAGAAGGUUUUGAAAAAGUGGAGUUAAAUUUGUUGAAUCUGGCAGCGGCAACGUGCCUUCUUCACCUGCUAACACCCUUUUCAACCUCUCACAAAACAGUCGGAGGUGGAAUUCCAGCAUAUCUCCUUCUCUCUGUAGCAGCCAGAGGUAUUGUUUUUUGCUCCAAGAAAUAUUAAAAGGAUUGGUUCUAUCCUCAAGUGGUUACUGGUGUAAAAUUAAACGCCAUGGGAGAAUUUGAAAGGAAGAUGCCAAGGAACUGGCGAAGUGGCUAAAUUCCACAAAUACGGCAUUAUUGCUCAUUUUUAACUCAAAAAAUUGAUACGCGUUCAUUUAGAGAAAAGUCCAAGACGCGUGCUUUUUGAAAAGAACAGGUAUCCCAAUCGGUAUCCAACCUUUAUCUUAUUUAAUUACUACCAUGACAUAAUUGAUGGUGCUUAAAUCAAUUGUUUCUUUUUUAAUUUAAAGAAUUUUUCAUUAAAAAAUAUUUUAAUAUCAAAUUGCCUUCAGUGGCGUAACAACUGCCUCAAGCCCAGUAACAGGACUAAUUAAAAAUUUUACAAUUUUGGGGCAUGGAAAUAGUAGUAUUAAACAUUAGAAAGGUGAGGUUGUUCUGUUAAAGAAUUGAUAUUGACAUAAUUUUAUUUUGGUUUUCGUGGAAAAAAAAAAUUUGUUGACAAACAAGAAAAUAUUUUUAUAUUUUAAAAUUUAUUAUGCAUAUUUUAUCAUAUUAAAGUAGUUUUAAUAGUAAAUAGAAACAUAAUAUUACGAUAAAUAAAUUAAAAUUUAACUUAUUUUGAAUAUUAUAAAAAAUAAUUUUAAUAUUAUUAAUAGGAAGACAUUGUAUUAAUUUAAAAAUUUUUUAACCCAAAGGUUUAUUUAAAAUCUUUAUUAUAAAUACAAAUAUAAAAUUAAAUAUCAUAAUUUAAAAUUUUUAAUAUUAUUUUAAGUAUGAAAAAUAUUUUAAUAUUAUUAGUCUAGAUCAUAUUACUUAUAUAAUAUUUGUAUUAUUAAAAAUGCUUUAAAAAAGACCUUGUUGUUACUUUUUAAAAAAUUGAGGGCCUGCUUGAUAAUUUUUUCAAAAAGAAAAUGCUUGGUAUAUAGGAGGGGUAGAGAAACAGGACUCCCAAAAUCUCUCACCCUUUUGUAAUUUAAAAAGAAUUAAAAUAUCAAUAAAAAAUAAUAAAGAAAAUAGAAUUUUAUCUGCUCCUUACUCCAUUUUUGCAACUCUCUCACCAUCUCUGUCGAGCAGCCCUCUCUCUCAUUGUCUCUCACUAUUUCAGGAUCUCUCUCUCACUCACACAAUCCUUUCCACGAUUUGAAAUUCUUUGGCCUUCUGCAACUCUUACAAGAAAUUAACGCUUUGGUUCUCCCAAGGGUAGAUUGGUUUUAUUGGGAAGCUAUUAAUUAGAAGGAGGAAAAAGGACUAUAUUUAGAAUAUGAUUUGUUGGAGAAUCUCAAAGUUAAUCAAUUUUCAAGCCACACUUUCAAUAGCCAAUUGAUUUAGUAACCAUUAAUUACUUUAAUUUCCAUAAAUUGUAAUGACAGUGCAAAUGCAUCUGGUUGUGAUAGCUAAGGGUUAGCUUGAAGAAUUAAAUUUCAUAAGAUAUUACUGGAAAAUGCUUUGCAGCUAACGUGCUGCUUCCUUUGCUAGACUACAAUUUCAAAAUUCUCACGAGUUUUCCAUUGUUGUCACAAACCGAGAAAUUAUAAAAUACAUGGCCUGGUUCUUUGGCAAUGACCAUCUCAUCGUCGGCGGUCGUGUCGUCAUUGUCACUGGUCUUGCUCGACCGAGACAGUGAGAGAGAGGUUUGUUAGAUGGAGUUAGUGAGAGAGAGUUGUAAAGAUGGAAUGAUGAUAAAGGAUUCUAUUUUUUUUAUUGUUUUUUAUUAAUAUUUCAACAGGUCUUAGUAUAUAUAUAUAUGAUUGUAAAUAUCAGUUAUACUCAUGUAAUAUGAGUUGUAAUUUGAGCAAUAGUCUCAUGUUAUCAAAAAAAAAAAAUCAAAAAGCAAAGGUUGUUAUGUCGAAGAAUUGAUGUCAACAAAAUUUUAUUUUAGUUUUCGGAAAAAACAAAACAAAAAUAAAAUUUUUGUUGACAAGCAAGAAAAUGUUUUUUAUACUUUACAAUCUGCUAUACAUAUUUUAUCAUAUUAAAGUAAUUUUAAUAAUAUAUGGAAACAUAAUAUUAUAAUAAAUAAAUUAAAAUUACUUUGAAUUAUUGAAUAUUACAAAAAGAUAAUUUUAAUAUUAUUAAUAGGAAAACAUAUUUUAUUUGUAAAAUCUUUUUAAUACACAAAUUCAUUUAAAAUCUUUAUAAUAAAUACAAAUAUAAAUUAAAAAAUAUCAUAAUUUAAAUUUUUUAAUAGUAUUUAAAUAUUAAAAAUACUUUAAUAUUAUUAAUCUACUACAUCAAAUAUAUUAUUUAUAUUAUAUUCGUAUUGAUUAAAACGUUUUAAAGUCAAAUUUUUAAUUAGUGUAUUCAAAGGUACAAAAGAUUUUAGUAUUAUUUUUUAAAAAUUUCAGGAUAUGAAUGAUAAUUUUUUCAAAUUUUAAAGAUGUAAAAAUCUUUUUUUCUGAUAAUUUAUUUCACUUUUGAGAGAAUCCGAAAACGUUAAUUUAACAUUCUUUACCUUUGUGAAAAAAGUGAAAAUCAAGAACUAUUCAAUUUUGUUUUUAUUUGUAAUUCAAAAACUUUAUUCAUUUUCGAUGCUUUUCAAAAGAGAUUCCUUUAAAUCCUUUUGAUGUCUGCAGCUCCUGCUAUUCUCAUAAAUCUCCAUCCCACAUCUACACUAUCAAACUAGUUGAUGGAAAUUCUUAUAAAAAAAAAAAAAAAGUCGAUGGAAAUUGAUCAAUUGCUUUUUGAAAUGGACCCAUUGAGUCAUGUUCAUUUCUGGUCAUAUAAAUUUCUUUACCUUACAGUUUAUACGGUCUUGCUGUUAAUGAAUUCGCUGAGGCAUUAUUGAUCCAAUCUGAGUGAAGUAAUUGUGGGUGAAAAAUAAAUAAAGGAUAGCAGAACGUAGCUGAAGUGCUGAAGGGGCUAUUAAAGAAGAGUGUCACUCGAUCACAAUCACAUUGAUGCACAACUCACUCGUGGCAAAUUCCGACUAUACGUACUGCAAAUUCAGCCAAACCAUACAUGCAUGAACAAAACAUCUUCUCUAAACUAAAAAGCCCACAUCUCUAAAAUCAAUCUACAUAAUGUUGGAGAUGAGGGGUGAAUUGUUAACUCAGUAAAAAAAAAAAAACUCAUGCAUAAGAUUACUAAUAAUAUAAAUUAUAUAUUAAUCAUUAUGAAGAAUCAUAAAUUAGAAAAAUUAAUCAUUUUAUAAUUUAUUACACAAGUAAGAUAAAUCUUAUAAUAAGUUAUAACAUAAAAAAACGUUAUCAAUAAAUAAUCAUUUAAGAAGUCAUUUAACAAUAAAAUCGUUCUUUGAUCAGUUGGUCAUGUCACAUAGUAUCAUCUAUAUUUAUGGUGAUAAUAUUAUUACUUGGUAUUAUCAAAAAACAUGAUUUAACAUUUUAGAGGAAAUUCUUGCCUUUUAAAAAAAACAUGUAUGCAACAGCUACCCAUGCUUGAUCUUACAAAUGAACAAAUAAUUUUUCUCAAUGAAAAGAAUUUUUUUUUUAAAUUGAUUUAAUUGCACCAAUUAUGAUGAUUUUUUGCCAAAAAAUUAUUUUUUGGAAAACAUAGUGAGAGAAAAUUAGUGACGAUUAUUUGUUUAGAUUGUAUAAAUAGCUCAAACAUAAUCCCUUAAUAACCNNNNNNNNNNNNNNNNNNNNNNNNNNNNNNNNNNNNNNNNNNNNNNNNNNNNNNNNNNNNNNNNNNNNNNNNNNNNNNNNNNNNNNNNNNNNNNNNNNNNAGGGAGAUCGUCGGGGACAAUCUGAACGGCCGACGCCGAUGAAAUGGAAGGGUUUACCAGAGGAGUGGAUGCGAAGAGUGCAGGGACGGCCGCAGAGAGAGAGCGGCGGAGAGCGGCGACGGACGGUAGUCGGUAUGGGCCAUUGCUUGCGCGUCGGUAAUUGUCUCGAGUGAGAGAGUGAAGGGUUUUGUUUAGGGUUUUGGGAAAUGAAAAAUGCAAAUGUUUGAUUUUGUUGCUAGAAACUUCUUCUGCCGCUGCCUUUUAUUUUCGCUAUAAUAAUAUUAAUAAUUUGUUAAUAAAAUAUUUUCUUAAAAAAGAUAAAUUUCUACGACAAAAUUUAUAUUAAAUCAAAUUGUAAAAAUGUCUAUUAGGGUUAAUUUCUCCUUAAUAUUAUUAUUAGUAGAAGUAGAUUUUCGAAUUAGUCUUGAUAUAUUUCAGAGUUGUAUUAUAAAUGUAUAUGUAUCUGGAUUGCAAUUGUAUUUUUAAAAAAUAUAAUUUUUUUAAUUAUUGCACAAUAAAUGUAGAAAGUGUCUAUAAAAUAAUAUUAUUAGAACUAUGAAAAGAUAUUAUUUUAGAGUAGUUAUUUAUUUAUUUUUGAAUAAAUAAUUUAUUAAUUUAUUGAUAAAUUAAUAUUUAUUAAUUUAAAGAGAGAUUUUUUUUUUGUGGGUUUUAAGAAGAGUUUUGUUGGUAUAUGUAUAAACUUAUAAAGAAAUACAAAAAAUGCUUCCUCAAGUCAAUAAUAUUUACUUUAAUUCAUAAUAAUAUAGUUUAAUCAAGAAACUUGUAAUUAUACUAUAUCUUUCUUUCUUUGUUCAGUUUGGUGGGACAUUGUGAUAAAUCAUUGGAUUAAAAUGCAUUUGUAAAUGAAAACUUGUUAAAACCUAAUUUAUUUGGGAAAAACAUAUUAUUUACUCUUUUUUUUUCCCGCUCUCUGACAAUUGAGGUAUGGGUCAAGCUUGAAAGUAUCUUAAAAUCAGACAACAAUUUAACGAUUUUUUGUUUUUAGAUAACUGCUGGUAUGCUCUACAAUGAUAAGUGAUAACCUAGGUGUUUGCAUUAAUUAUGAUUCAACAAUUUAAAAAAUGAAAACAUAUGGAAGACGGCCGCAAUUAAAUUUAUUGUAUGAAAAUAUUUCAAUGAAAUUUUAAAAAUUUAGUACUUGUUAUCUUAUCGAGAGUUUUUAAUUAUAUUACUACUUGAACUUGACUGCUUUUGUAUUGAAUUCCUAGCGUUGCCAUUGCUUCUACUCAAAAGCCAUUUAAGUUUGUGUAAGCUACCUGUAGUUUGAACAACAAUUUUCUAGAUGAAUUUUUUCCUACAUGCUUGUUCUCGUAUGACCCAAAAUCCUGCUACAUCAGUUGUAUUAGAAAUUAAUCAACUGGGUUACAAUUAUGCAUCCCCACCAAUAUUCAAGCAAUCUACAGAAACAUUUCUUGAGGAAAGAAACUCAUAUCGCCACUAGGCUUUUAAUGAGGCUCAUUUUUAUGAAUCUGGAUGGCAUUAGAUAUCUCUCCGAAUAUUGGUGGGAGUAUAUCGCUGAUCUCUGGGCUAUACUACAAAGUGUAUGUACGUUGACUCUCAAUAAAUACAAACGAUUCUCUGAUCUGAUUCAAAACAUCAGUACAUGCAUCAUUUUAAUGAGAAAGAAUAUUCUAAGAACGAAAUUGAAGGUGCAAUCAGCAGCUAAAAUGAAGCCAGAAAUGUACACGCAUGAGGAACUUUUCCUAGAAGAUUGAUAUUUCUUUAACUAGCAAACCAUAUAAGUCCAAAGCUAACCAAACCAUACCUGCAAGUCCGGGGCUUAAAUGGAGUACUUGUAAGCAUAAAACAUUAAUCAAAACACAGUAUAGACACACACACACACCCCUACAUACAUACCAGCAAAUUCGGAAUAGAAAAAGGAGUGCAACUAUUCAAGUUUGCAGACAAUAUUGCAACCAUGGCAUAUUAAAGCAAAUCCUUGAAAUCAGCUAAACAAAACAAUGCCCUGUCUCAUGAAUCGAUGCUCAAUUAAAAUUGCAAUUGAAAGUCCGGCUGGUGUUGUUUCCCUCCCCAGUUUUGCCUACAUAAGUAAACGGAAAUAAGAAUCAUAAAUGAAAAUCUACUUUGACAGUUCUUAUUAGAUAGAUAUAAAAAGAUCUUUCUUUGUUUCUCUGCUGUAAUUUGUAGACAUGUUCCUAUUGUGCAUAAUUUACAUUAUAGGCAAAUAUUCUUAUACCAUCAUAGGCAAAACAUGACACUAACAAUUGAAGGUUUUAUGACCUCCUUGAAGGUUUUACGAUAAACAUAAAUCUACUGAGAAAGUGGGAAAAAAAAGAAAAUGCAUAUAAAAAUAUGAGUUAUCAGAUAAGAUUGAAACUCACCCAAUUCAAUCCAUCAGAUUCCGCAAGGAUAUAACUGGAUGUCAUACCGCCACUCCAUAUCCUCGAAAGUCCGUAGUCCUUGUCUCAACUGUGUCUGGGGCCAGUGUAAGUCCAAUUUGCGCAAGCUCUUUAUGCACCACAGCUCUUCUGGAAGCUUUCUCAAGUAAGCACAUGGGUUGACAAUUAAGCUUUCAAGUUUCGGCAUUGCUCCAGCCCCCAUCGUCCACUCAUCUAGCCAAUACAUUGAUUUCAGGUGCAAAACCUUAAGUUCGGGAAAGCUACUCAAGCCAACACAAGCAAGCUUUCUUCCUAAAUACGAGUUCUGCUUCAGUUUCAGCACUCGAAGGAGUGGAAGAUUUUCCAGAAUUGGCAUGGGAUCCUGUUGUGAAUUUGGCUUUGUUACGACUAACCAAAUUCUCCCCAAGACACUAAUUUUGUAUCAAAUGGUUUGAGAAUUAACAGCACAGAUUAUGCAGUAACAAAUCACACGCAAGAACCAAAGCAUUAAAGAAACAAAGUGACACCAAGUAUAAGUGGUUCAGCACCAAGAUGUGGUGCCUACAUCCACUGGAAACAAAGCAACAGUCUUUCACUAUUUAGUUCACAAAACAAUACAAUAAUAGGAAUUUAUUUACAGAGAACAAGAACUUGUAAACCCCUUUCUCUCUCUAUCUUCUCUCUACUCUCUGUGUUUCCCAAUUCAUGUGUAGACGAUGACAGAGCCUGCACUUUUAACCUCUGUUUCUGGGUUGUUACAUUAACUACCCUUCCCGCCAAAACUAACCAAGAAGCUCCUCUCUCACGUGCUUGUCACAAGUUGGCAUAAGUGAGCUUGAAACGGCAAUCACAGAUGUCGUUCUUGAGCUAACGAGAUUUCAGCUUCACUACACGUGCAAACCACGUGUAUUACUUAAAGGUUGAAUGACCAAAGAGAGGAUGUCGGUUUUACUCUGAAGAACUCCUCAAGCGACAAGUCGGCUGAGACUAACUCCUCUAAACGACUUGUAGCACUUGAGUUUCGAGUUCACUGUUUAUCAAUCUCCACCUUGAACUCAGAACUCUAGCUACUCAUGUUUACUUCAUUCUCUUCCAUUUGCAGCUAAUCAGAAGCUGCAAAUCCCUACUAAGCUCAAACAGAAGUUGAGCUUGGCAGAUGGCAUAGCUUUAGUCAACAUAUCAGCUGGAUUUUGAUCAGUGUGAACCUUGAGCAUCUUCACAAUUCCCUUGGAAACUUCAAGUCUAACAAAAUGCAGCUUUACAUCGAUAUGUUUUGUUCUUUCGUGAUGGGUCUGGUUUUUACUCAAAUGUAUUGCACUCUGGCUAUCACAAUAUACUUCAACUGUUUCUUGUUUUGCUCCUAACUCAGAGACCAUUCCUUUUAACCAGAUGGCUUCCUUAAAAGCUUCUGCAGCUGCUGUAUAUUCGGCUUCAGUUGUGGACAAAGCUACCACACUUUGCAGUGUAGCUUUCCAAUUCACAGUGCAGCCUCCCAAAGUGAAUAUAAAACCUGUCUGAGACCUCAUUUUAUCAAGAUCUCCAGCGAAAUCUGAGUCAACAUACCCCACCAGCUUGUGCCCUUCCUGUUUUAACCCUCCAUAUAGCAGACCAAACUCCAUAGUGCCUUUCAGGUACCUCAUUAUCCAUUGGACUGCCCUCCAAUGUUCAUAACCUGGAUUUGCCAUGAAUCUACUCACUACACUCACAACAUGUGAGAUAUCAGGUCUAGUGAGAACCAUGGCAUACAUUAGAUUCCCAACUGCACUGGAGUAAGGUAUCCUUGCCAUUUUUCCUUGCUCUGCAUCAGUUUGUGGACACUGUGCAGCAGACAGCUUGAAGUGAUUUGCCAAAGGUGUUUGAACAGACUUAGAUUCAUGCAUCCCAAACCUAAGUAACACCUUUUUAACAUAGCCCUGUUGGGUUAGAAACAUAAGCUUCCUUCUCCUGUCUCUGAUAAUUUCCAUACCUAAGAUCUUCCUUGCAGCUCCAAGAUCUUUCAUAUCGAAUUCACUGCUCAAGAGGUCCUUUAAAUGACUGAUUUCAUUUAUGCUGUGACAUGCUAUAAGCAUGUCAUCCACAUACAGCAUAAGAUAAAUCAUCUUUCCAUCACCAAUGUCCUUAAAGUACACGCAACAAUCAUAAUUGCUUCUCUUAUAGGCAUGUUUUGUCAUGAAACUAUCAAACUUCAAGUACCAUUGCCUAGGAGACUGCUUUAAUCCAUAUAAAGAUUUCUUUAGUAAGCACACAUGAUCUUCCUUGCCAGACACCACAUACCCCUCAGGCUGCUCCAUUACAAUUUCUUCUUGUAAUUCACCAUGCAGAAAGGUUGUUUUAACAUCCAUCUGCUCUAGGUACAAGUCUUGAAUGGCAACUAAAGCUAAGAUGACUCUGAUGGAGGCAUGUUUCACAACUGGAGAGAAGAUUUCAUUGAAAUCAAUCCCCUCUCUUUGUGUGAAACCUCUUGCUACCAGCCUAGCCUUAAACCUACUAGGUUCAGCAUCAAAUAUCCCUUCCUUAAUUUUGAAGAUCCAUUUGCAGCUAACAGUCUUCCUUUUCUCUGGUCUAACUAUCAGUUUCCAAGUUCCAUUUUUCAUUAGUGAUUCAAUUUCCUCAUCCAUAGCCUUCUUCCAUUUCAGCUUAUCCCUGUUGUUUAUAGCUUCUUUAUAGGUUCUUGGCUCUUCUUCAUUUAUCUCUUGUGCAGCUGUUAAUGCAUAAGCUAUCAAAUAUGCUACUGCAUACCUCUUAGGUGGUCUUACAGCUCUCCUCUUUCUAUCCCUGACCAACUGAUAAGAGUUAUUUUCAUUCUCAGCUGGCUCUGACUCCUGAACACCAUCAGAUCCAUCAGCAACCCUUCCUGCAUCUUCUUCAGAUUCUGAUUCAGUCAUAUCUUGCUCAUGGGACUCCACCUGAAACUGAAUACUCCCAGGUUUUAUUUCUGAUCUAUACUCUUUGGAUUCAGUGGCUUUGGAAUUGUUCAAGAUUUCUGACUCAUUGAAAGUUACAUCCCUACUGAUAAUGCAUUUUGGUGGCUUCAGAUCAAUGCACCAUAGCCUAUAGCCUUUAACUCCAUCAGGGUAUCCCAAAAAUCUACACUUUAAGGCUCUUGGCUCCAAUUUGCCUUGUUUGACAUGUGCAUAAGCAACACAGCCAAAGAUUCUUAGUUUAGAGUAAUCAGCAACCCUUCCAGACCAUAGCUCGAUAGGUGUUUUGCAUUCUAUUGCUGUAGAUGGGCUUCUGUUUACCAAGUAGCAUGUUGUGUUUAAGGCCUCUGCCCAGAGUGACUUAGGCAGCUUUGAGUAUAGCAGCAUACACCUCACGUUGUCCAUUAAGGUUCUAUUCAUCCUCUCAGCAAGACCAUUUUGCUGAGGUGUGUGUAUGACUGUUUUGUGCCUCAUAAUCCCAUGUCUUUCACAGAAGUCCCCAAACUCUUUAUUGCAGAAUUCCAUUCCAUUAUCUAUUCUUAGAGCUUUUACUUUCAAACUUGUUUGUGUUUCUACCAGAAUUUUCCAUCUCUUGAACCUUUCCAAAACUUCAUCUUUGGUUUUGAGUACAUACACCCAAACCAUCCUUGAAUAGUCAUCUAUUAGGGAUAAGAAAUACCUACAGCCACCAAGGGAAUCUACCUGUGCAGGUCCCCACAGAUCAGAGUGUAUAUAUGCAAGCCUCUCUUUGGUAGAAUGAACUGCAGAUUCAAACUUGAGCCUGGAAGCCUUCCCUAGAAUACAGUCUUCACAGAACCCCAAAGAACUUAGCUUGUCACUUCCAAACACCCCCUUCUUUUGAAGCUCCUUCAGUCCUCUCUCCCUCAUGUGCCCCAACCUCAAGUGCCAUAGUUUUGCUUUAUCUUCACUCUUCUCAGUGACACUUGCCUCUCCAACAGUUGUAUGUCCAUUAAGCACAUACAAACCAUUUUGCUUGGUACCUUUCAUUAUGACUAUUGAGCCUCUGAUAACUUUUAAUGUCCCAUUUUCAGCCUUAAUGACACAUCCAGUUUGAUCAAGCAUGCCAAUAGAUAUUAGGUUCCUUUUGAGUUCAGGAACAUGCCUAACCUGAGUCAGUUCUCUAACCAUGCCAUCAUACAUCUUAAGGCUUACAGUCCCAAUCCCAACUACUUUACAAACUGAAUUAUUUCCCAUCAGCACCAUACCCCCAUCACAGGACUGAUAUGUAGUAAAGUAAUUUCUAUUUGGACUCAUAUGAAAAGUACAUCCAGAGUCUAGUACCCACUGACCUUGAGUUUUUUCUUUUGUGGCAAUGAGGACUUCAGCUGUCUCAAAACUGGUUUCUUCUGUGGCUAUUGCUGCAUUUCCAGAUUUUUCUUUUGAUUCCUUUUGUUUUGUUUUUCUCUCAGGGCAAUCCCUCUUGAAAUGCCCUUCUUUGUGGCAGUGAAAACACUUCAAGUGUUUUUGCUUUGACUUUGAUCUUCCUUGCUUCUUUCCUUUGUAUUCUCUUUUUUCAGAUCUUCCCCUUGCCAUCAGCCCUUCACUUGAUUCACUCUCUGAGUUAUCUUGUUUGUCUUUUAACUUCUUGGUACCAAGAGCAGAUUUAACCUCUUCCAAGGAGAGUGAUUGCCUUCCAUAUAACAAGGCAUCCACAAAAUGUUCAUACGAUUUUGGUAAAGAACUGAUUAACAGCAAAGCCUUGCUCUCAUCACUCAGUCCUUCAUCAAUUGUUUCCAGUUCAUCACAAACUUUAUUAAACUCAUCUAUGUGUUCAUCAAGUGAUGCUCCUUCAAUCAUCCUCAGUGAGAACAUCUUUUUCUUGAUGUAUAGCCUGUUUGCUAAAGACUUUGUCAUAUACAAUUGUUCCAGUUUUGCCCAGAGCCCAGCAACAGUCUUUUCUUUUGCAACUUCCCUUAUCACUGAGUCACCAAGACUGAGGAUGAUAGUGCUUCUUGCCUUUUUGUCAAUCUCAGCCAUCUGUUCUGGAGUUCUUGAAGAAGAAGCUUCUGCAUUUUCACUCUUGAUGACUGGAUCAAUGGCAUCUCCCAGACCUUGUGUGAUUAACAAUGCUUCCAUCUUGAUCCUCCACAUAUUGAAGUCAUUCUGACCCGUGAACUUCUCAAGAUCCACCUUGUUUGUCAUUUCUUGAACCUUGAUACAGAAAAGAGGGCUCUGAUACCAAUUUGUUGUGAAUUUGGCUUUGUUACGACUAACCAAAUUCUCCCCAAGACACUAAUUUUGUAUCAAAUGGUUUGAGAAUUAACAGCACAGAUUAUCCAGUAACAAAUCACAUGCAAGAACCAAAGCAUUAAAGAAACAAAGUGACACCAAGUAUAAGUGGUUCAGCACCAAGAUGUGGUGCCUACAUCCACUGGAAACAAAGCAACAGUCUUUCACUAUUUAGUUCACAAAACAAUACAAGAAUAAGAAUUGAUUACAGAGAACAAGAACUUGUAAACCCCUUUCUCUCUCUAUCUUCUCUCUACUCUCUGUGUUUCCCAAUUCAUGUGUAGACGAUGACAGAGCCUGCACUUUUAACCUCUGUUUCUGGGUUGUUACAUUAACUACCCUUCCCGCCAAAACUAACCAAGAAGCUCCUCUCUCACGUGCUUGUCACAAGUUGGCAUAAGUGAGCUUGAAACGGCAAUCACAGAUGUCGUUCUUGAGCUAACGAGAUUCCAGCUUCACCACACGUGCAAACCACGUGUAUUACUUAAAGGUUGAAUGACCAAAGAGAGGAUGUCGGUUUUACUCUGAAGAACUCCUCAAGCGACAAGUCGGCUGAGACUAACUCCUCUAAACGACUUGUAGCACUUGAGUUUCGAGUUCACUGUUUAUCAGAUCCUCCAUUAGCUCAGUAUUUGAUAAGCUCAGUUGGAUCAGACUUGGGGGAAAUUGGUAUUCAGACAGGACCAUCCGUGACGGCUUGCUCUCAUUCACCAGCUUCAAGCAUUCAAGUUUGUGGAGUUCGCAAAGGCUUUUGGAAACCCCAGAUUGAUAGUAACUCAAAUCUCCAGAUAUCCGAAGAGUCCGAACACUAGGUAGUCUGAACAAUAUAUCAGGAGUACAACUACUAGGGUUUAAAGCAGAUGUGAAAAUGAGAUUUUUCAGAGAGCUAGAAUAAUUUUUUGGAGGUGCGGGCAAAGUGAUAGAACCAAAGUUUAGAUGCAUGAGUUUUUGCAUCAUCCAAAUAUCCUCUGGUGACUGAUCUAUGUGGCUAGAUGGCAUUUCUAGUGUUUCAAGGUUUAAAAGGGUGCAUAGCAGUGAAGGAAGGCAUUUGAGCGAAGGGAUAUUCAAUUUCAAAUACUUCAAAAGAUAUAAAUUUUCUAAUCCGGGUGGAAAUUGGUCGAGAACUGCAGAACCGAAGUUCAAUACCCGAAGGUGUUUGAACCUUUUAAAAAAAUUCUCGCAAUCUUUCGGAUUAAGAUGAUUGCUUUUUGAACUGUGAUUCAGAAAAGAUUGGAGAUACAUGUAAGAAUAUUCUAAAGGAAAGAAGUCAAACUGAUUACCCAAAAUGAUGCACCGUUUAAAAUUUGCCGGCGGUUCCUCAUCCACGUCAUGCAUCCAGACAAAUCCCGUCGCCUGUGCCAACAAUAACAAUGAAGUAUAUACAAAACUUGGAACAUAACACGCUUUAAUUGUGCCGCCGGCGCUUCUCUUACUCACUUGAAUGAAGCCGCGAUGGAUUAAUUGUUUCAAGUAAUGUUCGGCAGUUUCUUCACUGUUGUAUGGUAUGAAACCUUCAGCUACCUACAACUGAUAUAAUUGCCUCGUGGAUAUCUCAAUACUUGGAGGGAAGACACACAAAUAGAUGUAGCAGACUUUCAAGUGAAAAGGUAACUCCAUCACAGAAAAAAUUUGUCUCUCAACUGUCAAGCCGAAUUUUCCUUGGGUCAGGGUUUCUAAUGGCAUACUUCCAUAGUGUAGGAUGAAAAAUUGCCAGGCUUCAUGCUUUAAUCUGAUCAAUGGUCCUCCAAUGAGCACCGAAUCAAGCCGAAUUUUCUCUCCAUUUUCCAUUUCCAACGACGUAAGGAGUGUUGGUUCAGUGACCAAUAUCAAUACUCUGCUUCCAUUCUGAUCAUCAGGAAGAAGUUCUACAACAUCACUCCACAUCUCACUGUAAUGGAAGACAUCAUCAAGCACAAUAAAGUACUUCUUGUUUGUUAGGUAAUCUCGAAGAAUAGAUUUCUUGAAUUGAUAAUCUUUACCGAUAAUUACUCUAACCCGAGAUGGAGGCAUCACAGAUUUGAUUAUGUCUUCCAAUAUCUUGCCAAAAUCGUAGAGUAGAGAAACCCUGACCCAAGCAAGACAGUCAAAAUAGAACUUGACAUAGUUAUUAUUGUAAGUAUCUGCAGCAAAAGCAGUCUUAUCGAAGCCACUGCUGUCGAGAAUUGCAACCACUGAAAGCCCAGAUGGUCCCUCAAUCAAUAGAUCAAAAAACUUCUCUCAGCCCCGUUCAAAUUCACUGAUAUCGAGCGGAGGUUGUCCCUCACUUAAUAGGCGAAUGAUUUCGUUACUUUUUUCACUGAUAUCAAAACCAUUGUCGCCGGGUGGAAGUUGUUGCGUCCGAUUUCUAAUAUCAAUGAGUUCACUGUGGAGUCCAUCAUGAAGAGCCAUAUUAGUGCUGCUUUCACUUUCGUUUUAACUGUUUUGCUGCUGCAUGAUGUUGAUGAAGAACGUGUCAAUGGCUUCCUCAGAUUCAUGGACAAAGUCAUUGAUGUCCUGAAGAAUUUCCAGAAUGUCUGAUCUUUCAUCGUCUUCUUCAUCACUUUCUUCUAAGUCCAACAGUUGCAAUAAAGGCAAAGACAUUUCGGAUUCAACGAAUUCUUGUCUGAUGAGUUGAGACAAAAUCCGAGCCAUGUCAGCUUCAUAGUUUCCCAACAGAGUAGUAGUAAUAAUUUCAGACUCCGUAAGAAGGUUUUGAAAAAACGGGGCUAAAUUUGUUGAAUCAGGCAACGUUAACGUGCCUUCUUCACCUGCUAACACCCUUCUCAACCUCUCACAAAACAGUCGGAGGUGGACGUCCAGCAUAUCUCCUUCUCUCUGUAGCACCCAGAGGUAUUGUUUUUUGCUCCAAGAAAUAUUAAAAGGAUUGGUUCUAUCUCAAAGUGGUUACUGGUGUAAAAUUAAACGCCAUGGGAGAAUUUGAAUGGAAGAUGCCAAGGAACUGGCGAAGUGGCUAAAUUCCACAAAUACGGCAUUAUUGCUCAUUUUUAACUCAAAAAAUUGAUACGCGUUCAUUUAGCGAAAAGUCCAAGACGCGUGCCUUUUGAAAAGAAGAGGUAUCCAAUAGAUAUCCAACCUUUAUCUUAUUUUAAUUACUACCACGACAUGAUUGAUGGUGGUUAAAUCAAUUGUUUCUUUUUUAAUUUAAAGAAAUUUUCAUUAAAAAAAUAUUUUAAUAUCAAAUUGCCUUCAAUAGCGUAACUGCCGCAGGCCCAGUAACAGGAUUAAUUAAAUUUUUUUGAAUUUUUGGGCAUGGAAAGAGUAGUAUUAGACUUCAGUAAGCUAAGGUUGUUAUGUUAAAGAAUUGAUAUUGACAUAAUUUUAUUUUAGCUUUCGGGGAAAAAAAUAUUUGUUGACAAGCAAGAAAAUAUUUUUGUAUUUUACAAUUUAUUAUACUUAGUUUAUCAUAUUAAAGUAAUUUUAAUAAUAAAUAGACACAUAAUAUUACAAUAAAUAAAGUAAAGUUUAAAUUAUUUUGAAUAUUAUAAAAAAUAAUUUUAAUAUUAUUAAUAGGAAGACAUUUUGUUAAUUUUAAAAUAUUUUUAACCUAAAGGUUUAUUUAAAAUCUUUAGAAAUCUCCAUCCCACAUCUACCCUAUUAAACAAGUUGAUGGAAAUUGAACAAUUGCUUUUUGAAGUGUACCCAUUGAGUUAUGUUCAUUACUGGUCAUUGUCUAUUCUUUCUAAGAGCCACUUGUUUUGAGCAUUAGCAAUCCUAUCUGGACUACUCCAAUUAUUGAUGUAACUCCAAUGGUUGCAUCAACAGUUGAAUGUAAGAUAGUGUUAGUUCUUUUUUGAGAAUUUCUUUAUUUGUUUCUCCGUUGCAGCGUAUUAGUAUAAAUUUCUUUACCUUACAGAUCCUACAGUCUUCCUGUUAAUGAAUUCGCUGAGGCAUUAUUGAUCCAAUCUCAGUGAAGUAAUUGUGGGUGAAAGAAAAAAUAAAGGAUAAGAGAACGUAGCUCAAGUGCGGCAAACCAUACAUGCAUGAACAAAAGCCAGCAAAUCCAAAUGAAAACUUAAACGGAAGAUCUUAUUCAAGUUUGUCCCCAAAAGACAGCUGAAAUGAAAAAUAUUGACUAUCGAGUGGAUCAAUGCUGAAUUACAUUUGACCUGGAAAGCUUGGCUGCCGUUGCGAUGUUCCCCCUCUGAUUUUCCCUAAAACAAAUUCAGUUGUAAACAAUAACUGGGGUAGCAACAAUUUAUUCAUUAUAGAAAAUACCUAAAUUUUCAACCACCAAAUCCUCGUGUCUAAACUAAAAAACUCAUAUCUCUAAAAUCUAUAUACAAAAUGUCAUAAAUGAGGGUGAUCUCUCAAUUCGGUAAAUAAAUUCAUGCAUAAUAUUACCAAUAAUGAUAAAUUACAUAAUAAUUAUUAUAAAGAAUCAUAAAUUGGAAACAUUAAUCAUUUUAAAAUGUAUUACAUAAUAAAGAUAAAUCUUAUAAUAAGUUACGUUAGAACAUAAUAAAUAUUUUCAAUAAUAUAUAUAAUUAUUUAAGAAGUCUUUUAGCAAUAAAAUAUAUAUUUUUUCUUUUUCAGUUGAUCAUGUCAUAGCGUUAUCUAAAAUGUUAGCGAUAUCAUUAUUCUUCACUUUUCUCAAAAAAAAAAAAAGAAAAAAAAAAGAAACAUGAUUAACGUUUGGAGAAAAGUCAUGCCUUUUAAAAAGAAUAUGUAUACAAUACCAAUCCAUACUUUAUCUGACCAUGACAAAAUUGUUUAAAAUAGAUUUAAUGCACAAAUAUGAUGACUUUUGGCAGAAAUUAGUUUCGGAAAUAUUGGGAUGAAAACCAUAUUGGUUGAGACUUAAAAUUACUUAACUACCAUUUAAUAGAUAAAAACCAUAUUAGUUGAAAGUUAAAUUAAGAUUUAAAUGUUGAGAUAUCUAACGUUACUUAAUCAGAAUAAACAAUAAUCAAUUCAAAUUAUGACUAUCAUGUAGAAGCAAAUGUUUAUGCUUGGGUCUUUUACUUCUUGAAUUUGAUUGGAAAAAUUUCUGAGACAGAGAAGUGAGUGUUUUGGAUAAUAUUUUUCGGGAUUGAAACCACAAAUUGGUCGAGGAAAAUAAUUUUGGACAAAUUUUUAUUAUAUUGUAGCACCUUUUUGGUUCCUUUUGUGUCGGCAGCCCCUCACUAUUCUCUUAACCCUGAGUUUUGAGAUAGAAAUUUCCCGAACUCCAACCCCACAUCCACAGACAAGUUGAUUGAAACAAUUGCUCUUGUAAUUAAGAGGAUGAGAUAGGGUUCAGUUCUUAUCAUUGUCUGUUAUUUCUUUGAAUCAUUAUCUUAAUUAAUUACAUCAAUUGUUUCUUUUUUUAAUUUAAAGAAUUUUUCUUUAAAAAAAUAUUUUAAUAUCAAAAUGCGUUAAAUGGUAUUACUGCCGCAAUCCCAGUAACAGGAUUAAUUAAAAAAAUAUUCUUAGGAAGAUAUUUUGUUUAUUGUAAAAUCUUUUUAAUCCAAAGGUUUAUUUAAAAUCGUUAUAAUAAAUAAAAAUAUAAAAACAAAAUAAAUAUCAUAAUUUAAAAUUUUAAUAUUAUUUUAAAUAUUAAAAAUACUUUAAUGCUAUUAGUCUACUACACAGGUUAUAUUACUUAUAUUAUAUUUGUAUAAAUUAAAACUUUUAAAGUUAAAUCUUUAAUUACUAUAUUGAAAAGGUAUUAUGGUUAAAAAAAGUUUUGGCAUUUUUUUUUGAAAAUUUGAGGGUCUGCAUGACAAUUUGUCCAAAUCCUAGAGGUAUAGGUGUAUUUUUUUUUCGAUAAUUCAUUUUACUUUUGAGGGAAUCCGAUGAGAAAUAAGAUAAGAGAAACUUCAAUUUAAUGUUCUCUAGGGAAAACCAAGAACUAUUCAACUUUGUAUUUUUUGUUUGUAAAACAAAAAACAGUUUGCCAAAAAAGGUACCAAACAUAUCCUUAAUGUCUCACAUGAUUUCUUAUUAAGUCCAUACUCGAUAUAUUUAUACAUUUUAGGUAUUUUAGUUAUAAAAGAAGUUGGUCCUCCCUCUGUUUAUAAAAGGUAACUUUAUUUCGAGAUUACCACUAAAGUCUUACAAAGAAUUAGUGUAAUGUUAAGAGAGACUAACACAGUUUUCCAUUACCAUUUUGAAAAUAGAAAGAUAUGGAUGUGUGCAUUUAAUGGUGAGUUUACUUGCCGGAUUGGGGAAUCAGAAUCUGGAAUCGGAAUGAUUGAUGGUGUUUACUUCGCAAAUAUGGAGCAGGAAUCAGAAUUGGAAUGGUGGAGCCCACCACUAUUUGGGAAUGGGAGAUUGAUUCCCAUGGGGGAAGGUGGGAAUGAGUCUCCCAUUCCCUGGAUUAACCAUUUUGCCCUCCCUCAAAAUUAAAAAUGCCUACUUUGUCCUCUUUUAUAAUUAAUUAAUAUAAUAUUAUAAUUAAUUAAUUAAUAUAUAAAUAUUUUAUUAACUAUAAUUAUUAAAAAUUAUAGUUCUUGAAUAAAUAAUCACAAUAAUUAAUUUAUUAUUAUUAUUGUUAAUGAAUUAAUAUAAUUAUUACUAUUAAUUAAUAUAUUAAUAUAUUAUUAACAAUAAUAUAUUAAUAAUUAUUUUUCGUGAAUAAAUAAUCACAAUAAUUAAUAUAUUAUUAUUGUAAUUAAUUAAUUAAUAUACUAUUAUAAUAAUUAAUUCAUAUAUUAUUAUUAAUUAAUUAAUAAAAUUAAAAUUAUUAAUUAAAUAAAUAAUAUAAUUAUUACUACUAAUUAAUAUAUUAUUAAAAAUAAUUAUUAAUAAUUAUAAUUUUUGAAUAAAUAAUCACAAUAAUUAAUAUAUUAUUUUAAUUAAGUAAUUAAUAUUAAUAUUAUUAGUUAAUAUAUUUUUAUAAUAAUUUUUGAUAUAGUUAUUAUAAUUAAUUAAAUUUUUUUACAAUUAAUUAAUAUAUUAGUUAAUAAUAAUUAUGACAAUAAUCCAUUAAGUACUUUUUAGUAAUUUGUUACAAUCUAAUUCAUUCUGAUUCCGAUUUCAAGACAAAGUAAACACAUUAAUGGCAAUCUAGCUCAUUUCGAUUUUGAUUCUUACAGUUCAAGUAAACAACUUAUUUUGAUUCCCAUUACCUAUUCCCAUUCCAGCCCAUUCUCAUUUCUGCCCAUUUCAAUUCCAGCUCAUUCCGAUUCCAGUUUAGUAAACGCAGCAUAAGAGUUAUCAUGAAAAUCAUACAAUUUAAUUUCCUGAAAUAUAUAUUUUAUUCACAUGUGCCAAAAGAAUAAAUAGAUAGAAAGUAAAUUUACAAUCCUCACUCCCUCAUAAUUGUUAAAGUGAAUAUGCAUUACAACUGUGAACUGUCACUACUUUAGCCCCUUUUUUUUUUUUUUCAAUUAUAGUGUGAUGGAGACAGUGAACAUUAAGGAUAAAGUGCUCUGCUGAAAGCCAAACUUCCUUUGGCUAAUUAAUUUAGAAGUAAAGCAGAGAAUAAAGUCCUUGAUGCCUUCUGAAAUUAGAAAUACAUUUUAUAUGCUUUAAUUAUGAUUAUUUGGUAGACUAUUGACCAAAAGACAUGUUAAAGUAUAAAACAGAGCGAUCAAAGAAAAAAAAAAAAGGAGCGUUUGUGACGUAGAAUAACAAUUUGUAAGUAAAGUCCUAAUUUGAGUUGUCAAAAAGCAAAUAUAACAGAGAAGGUAAGAGAGAUGCAAAAAGGGGAAAUUUACAGUAAUAACCAUUAAAGUUUUGAUUUUUUUCAUCUUAACCCCUUAAAAAUAUUUCUAUCAACAUUAGCCAUAAAACAACUUUUGAGACCAAAAUACCUCUCCUUCAUCUCUCCCCCAAAAAACUUGUUCUGUGGCCAAAAAGCUUGAUUUUUUUUUUAAAAAAAAAAUCUAAUCUUUUGCGGCUUGUUGCAUGAUUUUAAGAUGAAAAAUUUGUCAAGUUGUAUUCUAUCAGCAUUAUUAUUAUUAAUGCUUUCACCUGCAAAUUCAUUGAUAUUCAUUCCCCCUUCCAUAAUCUUCGUGCCCAAAUUGCUUCUAACUUUUCUCGACUUCGACGCGGGUGAGAGAUUGCUUUUCCUUUCACCUUUUUGUUUUCUUCCGUUUAGCUUCAUUAUUUUAAAAAAAAAAAAACCGAAACAGAACAGAAACAAAAGCUUCAGCCCGCGGCCACCGUCCAAGGCUGCCGGCUCUCGUUUUCCGUCACCGAUCCGGACGCAACCACCACUAAACGGAUCAUAAAUCGCCGGCCAUCAAACUCCAAGCAUCGGACACCGUUGAUUAGCCACAGAUCGCCGGAAAAGCAACCAAAACAGCCGCGCCAACCGUGCCGUCAUUCACCGGUUUCCGCCGCGAUUUAGCCAGCACCACCGUAAUCAAUCCACUCCUCUCCACGAGCUCAACCUCUUUCGUUAUUCCCCACCUCCGAUCGACCAACCCAUCGCCGGAAUCUAAGCAUCACCAAACAGUUACAACUUAUCUCAAAUUUCCGGCCAAAACGCCACCGUUUCCGACGAAUCACAAACAUCAUCAUGAACAACUUCAAGUUUUGGUGCGACAGGGUGCUUGUCGCACCAAAACUUGGUGCGACGGGUGCCUGUCGCACCAAGGCUUGGUGCGACGGGUGCCUGUCGCACCAAGGCUUGGUGCGACGGGCACCCUGUCAUCAGAUUCAUCCUCCGACUCAGAUCAAUAAGUUUGAAAAUAACUCAUGCCACGAUGCCGAUUAGUUUUGGUCUGUAAAGAAGGGUAAUUUAGGGAGAAAGGCUUGUGUUUGGCUAAUGUUGAUAGAAAAAAAUUCAGAGGAUUAGUUGCAAAAAUAACAAAAUAUUUAUGGUUAUUUUCGUAAAUUUCCCCAAAAAGAGAACUAUUAGCUUAUCUUGAUUUCCCCACUAUAUUCAUUUUCGAUGCUUUUCAAACGAGAUUCUUUUAAUCCUUCUGGCGUCUGCAGCCCCUGCUCUUCUUAUAAAUCUCCAUCCCACAUCUGCACUACGAACAAAUUGACUAAAAUUAAAUAAUGUUGGAGACGAGGGAUGAGCUGUCAACUUAUUAAAAAAAACUCAUGUAUAAUAUUAUCAAUAAUAUAAAAUAUAUAAUAAUUAUUAUAAAGAAUCAUAAAUUAGAAAAAUUAAUUAUUUUACAAUCUAUUUCUUAAGUAAGAUAAAUCUCGUAAUAAGUUAAGUUUAAUGUAAAAAAAUAUUUUCAAUUUAUAAUCAUUUAAGAAGUCAUUUAACAAUAAAAUCUUUCUUUUGAUCAGGUGGCCAUGCCAUAGAGUAUCAUCUAUAUUCGUGGUGAUAUUAUUAUUACUCAAUAUCCUCAAAAGACACGAUUUAACAUUUAGAGAAAAUUCCUGCCUUUUAAAAAGAACAUGUAUGCAAUAGCUAGCCACACUUUAUUUUACCACGACAAAAUUGAUAGUGAUUAAAUCAAUUUUCUCAAUUAAAGAAAUUUUUUUAAAUUGAUUUAAUGCACAAAUAUGAUGAGUUUUUGCAAAAAUUAGUUUUGGAAAAUAUAGUGAGAGAGAAUGGUGACGAUUAUUUUUCAGAUGUGCAAAUAGCCUAAACAUAAUCUCUAAUACCAAUAUCCUUGUGCAUCUUAACACCUUUCAUGAUAUUCUUUCAUUCAUGGCCAUUUGUUCAAUAUUUGAAUUUGAUUAUUAAAUUAUGUUCAAUAAUGUUAGAGACCCCAAUAAUUGGGUACCAACUUAAAUCCCAAUGCUAUGUGUCAUUAACAAAUGUUGUGUCAUUUAUCAUUAUUGAAUGAAUAAUUCGUUAAUUUAUUGAUAAAUGAAAAUUUAUUAAUUUAAAGAGAGAUUGUUUUUUUUUGGUUUUAAGAAGAGUUUUGUUGGUACAUGUACAUACUUAUAAAGAAAUAAACUUGUAAUUAUACUAUAUCUUUCUUUCUUUGUUCAGUUUGGUGGGAUAUUGUGAUAAAUCAUUGGAUUAAAAUGCAUUUCUAAAUUGAAACUUGUUAAAAUCUAAUUUAUUUAGGAAACACAUAUUAUUUGUCAGUCGUACUUCUCAAAUAAGAUUAAAACUCACCCAAUUCAAUCCAUCAGAUUCCGUAAGGAUAUAACUGGAUGUCAUACCGCCACUCCAUAUCCUCGAAAGUCCGUAGUCCUUGUCUCAACUGUGUCUGGGGCCAGUGUAAGUCCAAUUUGCGCAAGCUCUUUAUGCACCACAGCUCUUCUGGAAGCUUUCUGAAGUAAGCACAUGGGUUGACAAUUAAGCUUUCAAGUUUCGGCAUUGCUCCAGCCCCCAUCGUCCACUCAUCUAGCCAAUUUACUCAUGAAUUGUUGUUCAUAUUAGCAAUUUGAUUGAAAGUGUGGCUGCACUAAUUUUCUAGAUGAAUUUUUUCCUACAUGCUUGUUCCCGUGUGACCCAAAAUCCUGCUACAUCAGUUGUAUUAGAAAUUAAUCAACUGGGUUACAAUUAUGCAUCCCCACCAAUAUUUAAGCAAUUUAAUUACAGAAACAUUUCUUGAGGAAAAAAACUCAUAUCGCCACUAGGCUUUUAAUGAGGCUCAUUUUUAUGAAUUUGGAUGGCAUUAGAUAUCUCUCCGAAUAUUGGUGGGAGUAGAUCGCAGAUCUCUGGGCUAUACUACAAAGUGUAUGUACGUUGACUCUCAAUAAAUACAAACGAUUCUCUGAUAUGAUUCAAAACAUCAGUGCAUGCAUCAUUUUAAUGAGAAAGAAUAUUCUAAGAACGAAAUUGAACGUGCAAUCAGCAAUUAAAAUGAAGCCAGAAAUGUACAUGCAUGAGGAAUUUUUCUUAGAAGAUUGAUAUUUCUUUGACUAGCAAACCAUACAAGUCCAAAGCUAGCAAACCAUACCUGCAAGUCGGGGGUUUAAAUGGAGUACUUCUAAGCAUAAAACAUUGAUUAAAACAGAAUACACACAUACAUACCAGCAAAUUCAAAAUAGCAAAAGGAGUGCAAAAGUUCAAGUUUGUAGACAACAUUGCAACCAUGGCAUGUUUAUAGCAAAUCCUCGAAAUCUGCUAAAUAAAACAAUGCCCUGUCUCAUGAAUCAAUGCUGAAUUAAAAUUGAAACUGAAAGUCUGGCUGGCGUUGUUUCCCUCUCCAAUUUUGCCUACAUAAGUGAAAAUAAGAAUAAUAAAUGAAAAUCUGCUUUUACGGUUCUUCUUUGAUAGAUAAAAGGGGGAUCUUUCUUUGUUUCUCUGCUGCAAUGUGUGCCUAUCCCACUCUGUUUUGCCACCCAAGCUGAGUCUAUGUUGAGACAUAAUUUUGACAUCCGAAGCAAUCUCAAUUAGUUUGGCAAUUUUAUGACCUCCUUGAAGGUUUUAUGAUAAACAUAAAUCUACUGAGAAAGUGGGAAAAAAAGAAAAUGCAUAUAAAAAUAUGAGUUAUCAGAUAAGAUUAAAACUCACCCAAUUCAAUCCAUCAGAUUCCAUAAGGAUAUAACUGGAUGUCAUACCGCCACUCCAUAUCCUUGAAAGUCCGUAGCCUCUGUCUCAACUCUGUCUGAGGCCAAUGUAAAUCCAAUUUUCGCAAGCUCUGUAUGCACCACAGCUCUUCUGGAAGCUUUCUCAAGUAAGCACAUGGGUUGACAAUUAAGCUUUCAAGUUUCGGCAUUGCUCCUGCCCCCAUCGUCCACUCAUCUAGCCAAUACAUUGAUUUCAGGUGCAAAACCUUAAGUUCGGGAAAGCUACUCAAGCCAACACAAGCAAGCUUUCUUCCUAAAUACGAGUUCUGCUUCAGUUUCAGCACUCGAAGGAGUGGAAGAUUUUCCAGAAUUGGCGUGGGAUCCUCCAUUAGCUCAGUAUUUGAUAAGGUCAGUUGGCUCAGACUUGGGGGAAAUUGGUAUUCGGACAGGACCAUCCGUGAGGGCUUGCUCUCAUUCACCAGCUUCAAGCAUUCAAGUUUGUGGAGUUCGCAAAGGCUUUUGGAAACCCCAGAUUGAUAGUAACUCAUAUCUCCAGAUAUCCGAAGAGUCCGAACACUUGGUAGUCUGCCCAAUAUAUCAGGAGUACAACUACUAGGGUUUAAAGCUGAUAUGAAAAUGAGAUUUUUCAGAGAGCUAGAAUAAUUUUUUGGAGGUGCGGGCAGAGUGAUAGAACCAAAGUUUAGAUGCAUGAGUUUUUGCAUCAUCCAAAUAUCAUCUGGUGACUGAUCUAUGUAGCUAGAUGGCAUUUCUAGUGUUUCAAGGUUUAAAAGGGUGCAUAGCAGUGAAGGAAGGCAUUUGAGCGAAGGGAUAUUCAAUUUCAAAUACUUCAAAAGAUAUAAAUUUUCUAAUCCGGGUGGAUAUUGGUCCAGGACUGCAGAACCCAUGUUCAAUACCCGAAGGUGUUUGAACUUUUUACAAAAAUUCUCGCAAUCUAUCAGAGCGAGACGAUCGCUUUCUGAACUGUUAUUCAGAAAAGAUUGGAGACGCGUGUCAGAAUAUUCUAAAGAUAAAAACUGAAUCAGAUCUUCCCAAAUGAAGCACCGUUUAACAUUUGCCAGUGGUUCCCUUUUCCUUUCACGCAUCCAGACAAAUCCCGUAAUCUCUGCCACCAAAGCCAAUGAAGUAUAUACAAUACUUGGAACAUAACACGCUUUGAUUAUGCCUCCGGCUCUUCUCUUACUCACUUGAAUGAUGCCGCGAUGGAUUAGUUCUUUCAAGUAAUGUUCGGCAGUUUCUUCACCGUGGUAUGGUAUGAAACCUUCAGCUACCCACAACUGAUAUAAUUGCCUCGUAGAUAUCUCAAUACUUGGACAGAAGACAUACAAAUAGAUGCAGCAGACUUUCAAGUGAAAAGGUAACUCCAUCACAGAAAAAAUUUGUCUCCAAAUUGUCGGAAUCGCUUCGCCUCGAAAAUAAUUUUCUAAUGGCAUACUUCCAUAGUGUAGGAUGAAAAAUUGCCAGGCUUCAUGCUUUAAUCUGAUCAAUGGUCCUCCAGUGAGCACCGAAUCAAGCCGAAUCUUCUCUCCGUUUUCCAUUUCCAACGACGCAAGGAGGUUUGGAUCAGUGACCAAUAUCAAGACUCUGCUUCCAUUCUGAUUAUCAGGAAGAACUUCUUCAAGAUCAUCCCAUAUCUCACUGUGAUCAAAGACAUCAUCAAGCACAAUAAAGUACUUCUUGUUUGUUAGGAAAUCUCGAAGAACAGAUUUCUUCAAUUGAUAAUGUUCACCGAUAAUUACACUAACCCGAGAUGGAGGCAUCACAGACUUGAUUAUGUCAUCCAAUAUCUUGCCAAAAUCGUAGAGUAUAGAAACCCUGACCCAAGCAAGACAGUCAAAAUAGAACUUGACAUGAUUAUUGUUGUAAGUAUCAGCAGCAAAAGCAGUCUUGUCGAAGCCACUGCUGUCGAGAAUUGCAACCACUGCCAGCCCAGAUGGUCCCUCAAUCAAUAGAUCAAACAACUCCUCUCUGCCCCGUUCAAAUUCACUGAUAUCAAGCCGACGAUGUCCCUCACUCAAUAGGCGAAUGAUUUCGUUACUUUUUUCACGGAUAUCAAAACCAUUGUCGCCGGGUGGAAGUUGUUGCGUCCGAUUUCUAAUAUCAAUGAUUUUAGUGUGGAGUCCAACAAGAAGAGCCAUAUCAGUACUGCUUUCACUUUCGUUUUCACUGUUUUGCUGCUGCAUGAUGUUGAUGAAGAAUGUGUCAAUUGCAUCCUCAGAUUCAUGGACAAAGACAUUGAUGUCCUCCAGAAUUUCCAAAAUAUCUGCUCUUUCAACAUCUUCUUCAUCGCUUUCUUCUAAGUCCAACAGUUGCAAAAAAGGCAAAGAUAUUUUGGAGUCAUCGAAUUUUUCUCUAAUGAGUUGAAACAAAUGCCGAGCCAUGUCAGCUUCAUAUUUUCCCAGCAGAGUAGUAGCAAUAAUUUCGGACUCCGUAAGAAGGUUUUUAAAAAGUGGAGUUAAUUUUGUUGAAUCUGGCAGCGGCAACGUGCCUUCUUCACCUGCUAACACCCUUUUCAACCUCUCACAAAACAGUCGGAGGUGGAAUUCCAGCAUUUCUCCUUCUCUCCGUAGCACUCAGAGGUAUAGCUGAAAGAUUAAACACCAUGGAAGAAUUUGAAAGGAAAAUGCCAAGAAAUUGUGUAAGUGGCUAAAUUCCACAAAUAUGACAUUAUUGCUCAUUUUUUAACUCAAAAAAAGGGUACGCGUUCAUUUAGAGAAAAGUCCAAGACGCGUGCCUUUUGAAAAGAACAGGUAUCCCAAUCGGUAUCCAACCUUUAUCUUAUUUAAUUACUACCAUAACAUAAUUGAUGGUGCUUAAAUCAAUUGUUUCUUUUUUAAUUUAAAGAAUUUUUCAUUAAAAAAAUAUUUUAAUAUCAAAUACCCUUCAAUGGCAUAACUGCCGCAAGCCCAAAAACAGGAUUAAAUAAUUUUUUUUUUUGAAUUUUUGGUCAUGGAAAGAGCAGUAUUAAACAUCAGAAAGCUAAGGUCGUUAUGUUAAAGAAUUGAUAUUGACAUAAUUUUUUUUGGUUUUCGGGGAAAAAAAAAUUGUUGACAAGCAAGAAAAUAUUUUUAUAUUUUACAAUUUAUUAUACAUAUUUUAUCUUAUUAAAGUAAUUUAAUAAUAAAUAGAAACAUAAUAUUACGAUAAAAAAAUUAAAGUUUAACUUAUUUUGAAUAUUAUAAAAAAUAAUUUUAAUAUUAUUAAUAUGGGGACAUUGUAUUAAUUUUAAAAUUUUUUAACCCAAAGGUUUAUUUAAAAUGUUUAUUAUAAAUACAAAUAUAAAAUUAAAUAUCAUAAUUUAAAAUUUUUAAUAUUAUUUUAAGUAUUAAAAAUAUUUUAAUGUUAUUAGUCUACUACAUAGAUCAUAUUACUUAUAUAAUAUUUGUAUUAUUAAAAAUUCUUAAAAUCAAAUUUUUAGUUAGUAUAUUCAUGAGGUAUUAUGGUUAAAAAAAAAAAGACCUUAUUGUUACUUUUUAAAAAAUUGAGGGCCUUCGUGAUAAUUUUUUCAAAAAGAAAAUACUUGGUAUCUGGGAGGGAUAGAGAAAUAGGACUCCCAAAAUCUCUCACCCUUUUUUAAUUAAAAAAAUUAAAAUAUCAAUAAAAAAUAAUAAAGAAAAUAGAAUUUUAUCUACUCCUUACUUCAUUUUUGCAACUCUCUCACCAUCUCUGUCGAGCAGCCCUCUCUCUCACUCUCUCACUCACACAGUCUUUUUCACGAUUUGAAAUUCUUUGGCCCUUUGCAUUACAAGAAAUUAACGCUUUGGUUCUCCCAAGGGUAGAUUGGUUUUAUUGGGAAGCUAUUAAUUAGAAGGAGGAAAAAGGACUAUAUUUAGAAUAUGAUUUGUUGGAGAAUCUCAGAGUUAGUCAAUUUUCAAGCCACACUUUCAAUAGCCAACUGAUUUAGAAACCAUUAAUUACUUUAAUUUCCAUAAAUUGUAAUGACAGUGCAAAUGCAUCUGGUUGUGAUAGCUAAGGGUUAGCUUGAAGAAUUAAAUUUCAUAAGAUAUUACUGGAAAACGCUUUGCAGAUAACGUGUUGCUUCCUUUGCUAGGCUACAAUUUCAAAAUUCUCACGAGUUUUCCAUUGUUGUCACAAACCGAGAAAUUAUAAAAUACAUGGCCUGGUUCUUUGGCAAUGACCAUCUCAUCGUCGGCGGUCGCGUCGUCAUUGUCACUGGUCUUGCUGGACCGAGACAGUGAGAGAGAGGUUUGUUAGAUGGAGUUAGUGAGAGAGAGUUGUAAAGAUGGAAUGAUGAUAAAGGAUUUUAUUUUUUUUUAAUUGUUUUUAUUAAUAUUUUAAUUUUUAAAAUUAAAAUUUGCUGCCGUUUCUCUCGACUCUCAUAAUUUAUUUCAUUUUUAGGGAAUCCAAUGAGAAAUAUGAUAAAAGAACGUCAAUUACUUGUCAUUUUCAAUUUUUUUCUAUAAGCUAUUUAUUUCGAGCAUUAGUGAUCUUGUCUGGCUACUCCAAUUAUUGACGUAACUCCAGUGGCUGCAUCCACUGGAAAAAGUGGAUGAGAACCAUUUUUUUUUCAUAAAGGUAACUGCUCCAAUUAUUGACAUAAUUGAUGGUGCUUAAAUCAAUUUUUUUUUUUAAUUUAAAGAAUUUUGCUUUAAAAAAUAAUUAAUAUCAAAAUGCCUUCAAUGUUGUUACCGCCACAAGCCCAGUUAGAGGACUCAUUAAAAAUUUUAGAAUUUUUAGGCCUGGAAAGCGUAGUAUUAAACAUCAGAAAGCAAAGGUUGUUAUGUCGAAGAAUUGAUGUCGACAAAAUUUUAUUUUAGUUUUCGGAAAAAAAAAUAUUUUGUUGACAAGCAAGAAAAUAUUUUUUAUACUUUACAAUCUGCUAUACAUAUUUUAUCAUAUUAAAGUAAUUUUAAUAAUAUAUGGAAACAUAAUAUUAUAAUAAAUAAAUUAAAAUUAAAAUUACUUUGAAUUAUUGAAUAUUACAAAAAGAUAAUUUUAAUAUUAUUAAUAGGAAAACAUUUUUUAAUUGUAAAAUCUUUUUAAUACAAAAAAUCAUUUAAAAUCUUUAUAAUAAAUACAAAUAUAAAAUUAAAAAAUAUCAUAAUUUAAAUUUUUUAAUAUUAUUUAAAUAUUAAAAAUACUUUAAUAUUAUUAGUCUACUACAUAAAAUAUAUUAUUUAUAUUAUAUUCGUAUUGAUUAAAACGUUUUAAAGUCAAAUUUUUAAUUAGUGUAUUCAAAGGUAUAAAAGAUUUUAGUAUUAUUUUUUAAAAAAUUUCAGGAUAUGAAUGAUAAUUUUUUUCAAAUUUUAAAGAUGUAAGAAUCUUUUUUUCUGAUAACUUAUUUCACUUUUGAGAGAAUCCGAAAACGUUAAUUUAACAUUCUUUACCUUUAUCUUUUCAAAAAAAAAAAAAACAUUCUUUUUUUGAUAAGAAUGUUUUUUUUUUCUUUAAAAAAUAAUUAAUAUCAAAAUGCCUUCAAUGUUGUUACCGCCACAAGCCCAGUUAGAGGACUCAUUAAAAAUUUUAGAAUUUUUAGGCCUGGAAAGCGUAGUAUUAAACAUCAGAAAGCAAAGGUUGUUAUGUCGAAGAAUUGAUGUCGACAAAAUUUUAUUUUAGUUUUCGGAAAAAAAAAUAUUUUUUUACCUUUGUGAAAAAAGUGAAAAUCAAGAACUAUUCAAUUUUGUUUUUAUUUGUAAUUCAAAAACUUUAUUCAUUUUUGGAUGCUUUUCAAAAGAGAUUCCUUUAAAUCCUUUUGGUGUCUGCAGCUCCUGCCAUUCUCAUAAAUCUCCAUCCCACAUCUACACUAUCAAACAAGUUGAUGGAAAGUCUUAUAAAAAAAAAAAAGUUGAUGGAAAUUGAUCAAUUGCUUUUUGAAGUGGACCCAUUGAGUCAUGUUCAUUUCUGAUCAUUGUCUACUCUUUCUAUCAGCCAUUUAUUUUGACCAUUUGCGAUCUUAUCUGGACCUACUCCAAUUAUUGUUGGAACUCCAAUGGUUGUAUCUACAGUCGAAUGUAAUAUAGUGACAGCUCUUUCUUUGAGAAACUAGAGGGACCUUACAGUUCAUAUAAAUUUCGCUACCUUACAGUUCAUACGGUCUUGCUGUUAAUGAAUUUGCUGAGGCAUUAUUGAUCCAAUCUGAGUGAAGUAAUUGUGGCUGAAAAAUAAAUAAAGGAUAAGAGAACGUAGCUGAAGUGCUGAAGGGGCUAUUAAAGAAGAGUGUCACUUGAUCACAAUCACAUUGAUGCACAAUUCACUUGGCAAAUUUCGACUAUGCGUACUGCAAAUUCAGCCAAACCAUACAUGCAUGAACAAAACUAAAAUGUAGUUCUAAUCACAACUGCAGUUAUGAUGUUUACCCCUCUGAUUUUUCUCCAAAACAAAUUCAGUUCAAAACAAUAAUCAAAAUAGCCACAUUUUGUUCGUCAAAAUAAAUGCCCAAAUUUUCAAUUAACAAAUCAUCUUCUCUAAACUAAAAAGCCCACAUCUCUAAAAUCAAUCUACAUAAUGUUGGACAUGAGGGGUGAAUUGUUAACUCAGUAAAAAAACUCAUGCAUAAUAUUACUAAUAAUAAAAAAUAUAUAUUAAUCAUUAUAAAGAAUCAUAAAUUAGAAAAAUUAAUCAUUUUAUAAUUUAUUACACAAGUAAGAUAAAUCUCAUAAUAAGUUAUAACAUAAAAAAAACGUUAUCAAUAUAUAAUCAUUUAAGAAGUCAUUUAACAAUAAAAUCGUUCUUUGAUCAGUUGGUCAUGUCACAUAAUAUCAUCUAUAUUUAUGGUGAUAAUAUUAUUACUCAGUAUUCUCAAAAAACAUGAUUUAACAUUUAGAGGAAAUUCUUGCCUUUUAAAAAAAACAUGUAUGCAACAGCUACCCAUGCUUUAUCUUGCCAUGACAAAUAUUUUCUCAAUGAAAGAAAUUUUUUUAAAAAUUGAUUUAAUGCACAAAUAUGAUGAUUUUUCCAAAAAUUAAUUUUGGAAAAUAUAGUGAGAGAAAAUAGUGACGAUUAUUGUUUAGAUGUAUAAAUAGCCUAAACAUAAUCCUUAAUACCAAUAUCCAUAUGCAUCUUAUCAUCUUUCAUGAUGUUCUUUCAUUUAUGUCCAUUGGUUCAAGAUUUGAAUUUGAUCAUUAAAUCAUGUUCAAUAAUAUUAGAGAUUCCAACAAUUGAGUACCAACUUAAAUCCCAAUGUUAUGUGUCAUUGACCAAUUAUGUGUCAGUGACCAAUUUUGUGUCAUUUUGUUAUUAACUAGGUGAUGAAUUUCUAGUUGAUAAAAUCACUUAAAAAUAUCUUAAAAAUUAGACAAUAGUUUGCUUAAUUUUUCCAAGUUAACUGCUCAAGAUGCUCUAUUAUAAAUGAUAACCUAAUUAUAUUCAUAAAAAAUGAUAUAUUUUUUUGUGGUGUUGAUAAUGAGAUUAUCAUUCAACGUUUUAAAAUGUGAAAACAUAUGGAAGACGGUUGUAAAUUGAUUGAAUGAAAAUAUUUCAGUGAAGUCUCAAAAAUUUGGUACUUGUUGUCUUAUCGAAAGUUUUCUAAAUUAUAUUCGUGGCACAGCCACUAUCCAAACCAUACAAGUCCAAAGCUAUCCAAACCAUACCUGCAAGUCCGGGGCUUAAAUGGAGUACUUCUAAGCAAAAAAACAUUGAUUAAAAUAGAAUAUAUACAUACAGACACACAUACAUACCAGCAUAUUCAAAAUAGCAAAAGGAGUGCAAAAGUUCAAGUUUGUAGACAACAUUGCAACCAUAGCAUGUUUAUAGCAAAUCCUCAAAAUCUGCUAAAUAAAACAAUGCCCUGUCUCAUGAAUCAAUGCUGAAUUAAAAUUGAAACUGAAAGUCUGGAUGGUGUUGUUUGUUGAGAAUGUCAAAUAAAACGGCAUUGAAGGAAGUUUUCAAAGGCAGAAUCCGCACUUGUCAAAGACACGAUCCGCACCGAACGGAUCGACACAUUUCCUUCCGUAUUCACAUAUGUAAUCUUUGAAAAAAUGUAGCUUCUGCAUCUAUAAAUAACGCUCAGUGUAUAAUGUUUUAUUCAAGAAAUAAAAACAAGUUUCUACAUGGUAUCAGAGUCAUGAAUGCGCUCAAGUUUCUUCAAGUUUCGCUGCUCUGUUUGUCACAAAAACAGAGGAAACCAAAUUCGUCCCACAACCAUUUUUUCCACCAUUUUCUUCCUUAAAAUCAUUCCUAACAUUACAGAAAUCCAUGCCGAUCAAAAAACAUGAAAGACAAAUUACACAUGUGCAGUAACCAAUGAUCAUAUUUCGUUACUGUCAAACACAAUGCAUCUGAGCAAAACAUUGGAAGCCAACACCAGAAUACAUAUGAAUAAACAAUUAAAGAUAGAGAAAAAAGGCUUAAACCUUGGGGGAAAAAAGUGAAAAAACAUGAAAGACAAAUUACACAUGUGCAGUAACCAUCGAACUUAUCAGUGACAGCUGCAUCCAUUACAUUGCUCCAACAACACAAUGGCAAACCACCAGUUUCAAAUUGAGGAUAGCUAUCGAGAAUGAGAAAGUGUCCAAAACAUCAUAAAUAGACAUGUUCCUAUUGUGCAUAAUUUACAUUAUAGGCAAAUAUUCUUAUACCAUCAAAGGCAAAACAUGACACUAACAAUUGAUCCCCCCCCCCCCCCCCCCCCCCAACAACCAAAAAAAAAGGAAAAACAAUACAGAAAAGAUUGAAACAGAUAAGGCUACACUGAGCACAGGAUGCCAUGAAACAUAAUCCAGGAACCAAAUUAAUAAAAAAGGAAGCCAAACCAUUAUUUAACAAUCUGUUUUGUAUUUGGGAAAGUCUGAUAAAAUCUACUUAGGGAUAAUUAGAGAACUUCAACUAUUAAUCACACCUCAUAAAUGAACUAACAUUAACCAUCUACCAUCCCCACGUCACACAAACAUUCUCUAUACUUCUGAACCUAAUACUUCCAUCUUCAAUUGGGGGUUUUUUUUCUUUUUUUUUUUGGGUGGGGGGGGGGGGGGGGGGGGGGAAGCUAUCAAUUUUCUAAGCUUGCUUAGCUUCUGUGUGGGAUUGAAAUGCUGAUUUCGAAUCACUAACAGUAAAAUUGGAAGCUCAUGAAAAAACAGUUUUAUCUCAAAAUUACAUCUCGAUAUAAAUUCUCUUUUCAUUUCCUUCAACUUUCUAAUUAAGCUUAAAAAAUGUACCUUCAACCACAAAGGGGUUUAAAAUUUAAAAUAUAAAAAAUAAAUUCAGAUAACAAUAAUUAAUUUAAUUAAAAAUAUAAAUAGAGUUACAGAGAAAGAGAAAAUAGAGAAAGACCUAAUGUUGAGUCCUUUGGCGCAUGUCUCUUCAUAGGUCCGAACCAUUUCUUCGGGCGUGGGUUACGGCCGAGAUUGGAUAAUGAUGGAGUAGGAUAAGAUUAGCGAUAACGACGCCGAUGAAAUGGAAGGGUUUACCAGAGGAGUGGAUGCGAAGAGUGCAGGGACCGCCGCAGAGAGAGAGCGGCGGAGAGCGGCGACGGACGGUAGUGACCAGCGGAGGCGGAAGAUGGCGGUAUGGGCCAUUGCUUGCGCGUCGGUGAGUGUCUCGAGUGAGAGAGUGAAGGGUUUUGGGAAAUGAAAAAUGCAAAUGUUUGAUUUUGUUGCUAGAAACUUCUUCUGCCGCUGCCUUUUAUUUUCGCUAUAAUAAUAAUAAUAAUUUGUUAAUCAAAUAUUUUCUUAAAAAAGAUAAAUUUCUACAAGAAAAUUUAUAUUAAAUCAAAUUGUAAAAAUGUCUAUUAGGGUUAAUUUCUCCUUAAUAUUAUUAUUAGUUGAAGUAGAUUUUCGAAUUAGUCUUGAUAUAUUUCAGAGUUGUAUUAUAAAUGUAUAAGUAUCUGGAUUGCAAUUAUAUUUUUAAAAAAUAUAAUUUUUUUAAUUAUUGCACAAUAAAUGUAGAUAGUAUCUAUAAAAUAAUAUUAUUAGGACUAUGAAAAAAAUAUUAUUUUAGAGAAGUUAUUUAUUUAUUAUUGAAUGAAUAAUUUAUUAACUUAUUGGUAAAUGAAUAUUUACUAAUUUAAAGAGAGAUUUUUUUUUUGAUUUUAAGAAGAGUUUUGUUGGUACAUAUUCAUACUUAUAAAGAAACACAAAAAGUAGUUCCUCAAGUCAAUUGUAUUUGCUUUAAUUCGUAAUAAUAUAUCUUAAUCAAGAAACUUGUAAUUAUACUAUAUCUUUCUUUCUUUGUUCAGUUUGGUGGUACAUUGUGAUAAAUCAUUGGAUUAAAAUGCAUUUCUAAAUGAAAACUUGUUAAAACCUAAUUUAUUUGGGAACCAUAUUUUAUUUGUCAGUCGUAUUUCUCAACUUAGCAAGUUAUUUCUAACUUAUCGGUCUCUAUUGGUUUUCUUAAGUGCCUGUUUGAUAUGACUUAUUUAAUGGCAAUAAGUGCUUAUUUAAUCUCAUAAGCUCUUAUCAUAAUUUUUGUUAUUGUUUGGUUGUUUUUCUAAUAAAGUUUUUGAAGCUUAAAUAAGUAAUUUUACCUCUCUUAACAAAAGCUCAAAUUUUGAGUUUUUUGGGAGUAGAGAUUGAAAAACUUUUUCAAAUGUCAAAAUAUCUAUAAUAUCCUCUACUUAUUUAACAAUCUUAUUUAUUAUUUUCAUAAUAUAACUUUAAAAGACUUGUCUAUUAAAGUAAUUUCAUAAAUUUUUAAUAAAAACUCUUAUUGACAACCAAACAACUAAUUUUUUUUAGCAAAACCUCUACUUAAAUAAGUUCUACUUGAAAAACUGUAUCAAACGGAGCUUAAAGUUAAUAGUCUCUUAUCUCCCACAUUUGAUAUCUUAAUGGUAUCAGCGUGUUACCUAAGAUUGGGAUUCAUUAAAAUCCUCAAUGUAAUCGGUGGAAUGAAAUGGAUUUUUAUAACCUCCUUGAAGGUUUUACGAUAAACAUAAAUCUAUUGACAAAGUGGGCAAAAAGAAAAUGCAUAUAAAAAUAUGAGUUAUCAGAUAAGAUUAAAACUCACCCAAUUCAAUCCAUCAGAUUCCGUAAGGAUAUAACUGGAUGUCAUACCGCCACUCCAUAUCCUCGAAAGUCCGUAGUCCUUGUCUCAACUGUGUCUGGGGCCAGUGUAAGUCCAAUUUGCGCAAGCUCUUUAUGCACCACAGCUCUUCUGGAAGCUUUCUCAAGUAAGCACAUGGGUUGACAAUUAAGCUUUCAAGUUUCGGCAUUGCUCCAGCCCCCAUCGUCCACUCAUCUAGCCAAUACAUUGAUUUCAAGUGCAAAACCUUAAGUUCGGAAAAGCUACUCAAGCCAACACAAGCAAGCUUUCUUCCUAAAUACGAGUUCUGCUUCAGUUUCAGCACUCGAAGGCAUGGAAGAUUUUCCAGAAUUGGCAUGGGAUCCUCCAUUAGCUCAGUAUUUGAUAAGCUCAGUUGGAUCAGACUUGGGGGAAAUUGGUAUUCAGACAGGACAAUCCGUGAGGGCUUGCUCUCAUUCACCAGCUUCAAGCAUUCAAGUUUGUGGAGUUCGCAAAGGCUUUUGGAAACCCCAGAUUGAUAGCAACUCAAAUCUCCAGAUAUCCGAAGAGUCUGAACACUAGGUAGUCUGCCCAAUAUAUCAGGAGUACAACUACUAGGGUUUAAAGCUGAUAUGAAAAUGAGAUUUUUCAGAGAGCUAGAAUAAUUUUUUGGAGGUGCGGGCAGAGUGAUAGAACCAAAGUUUAGAUGCAUGAGUUUUUGCAUCAUCCAAAUAUCCUCUGGUGACUGAUCUAUGUAGCUAGAUGGCAUUUCUAGUGUUUCAAGGUUUAAAAGGGUGCAUAGCAGUGAAGGAAGGCAUUUGAGCGAAGGGAUAUUCAAUUUCAAAUACUUCAAAAGGAAUGAAUUUUCUAAUCCGGGUGGAUAUUGGUCCAGGACUGCAGAACCCAUGCUCAAUACCCGAAGGUAUUUGAACCAUUUAAAAAAAUUCUCGCAAUCUUUCGGAUUAAGAUGAUCGCUUUCUGAACUGUGAUUCAGAAAAGAUUGGAGAUAGAUGUAAGAAUAUUCUAAAGAAAAGAAGUCAAUCAGAUUUUCCCAAAUGAUGUACCGUUUAACAUUUGCCCUUGAUUCCUUUUCCAUUCCAGGCAUCCAGAGAAAUCCCGUCUCCUGUGCCAACAAUAACAAUGAAGUAUAUACAAAACUUGGAACAUAACACGCUUUAAUUGUGCCUCCGGCGCUUCUCUUACUCACUUGAAUGAAGCCGCGAUGGAUUAGUUCUUUCAAGUAAUGUUCGGCACUUUCUUCACCGUUGUAUGGUAUGAAACCUUCAGCUACCCACAACUGAUAUAAUUGCCGCGUGGAUAUCUCAAUACUUGGAGGGAAGACACACAAAUAGAUGCAGCAGACUUUCAAGUGAAAAGGCAAGUCCAUCACAGAAAAAAUUUGCCUCCAAAUUGUCGGAAUCGCUUCGCCUUGAACAUAAUUUUCUAAUGGCAUACUUCCAUAGUGUAGGAUGAAAAAUUGCCAGGCUUCAUGCUUUAAUCUGAUCAAUGGUCCUCCAAUGAGCACCGAAUCAAGCCGAAUCUUCUCUCCAUUUUCCAUUUCCAACGACGCAAGGAGGUCUGGAUCAGUGACCAAUAUCAAUACUCUGCUUCCAUUCUGAUUAUUUGGAAGAACUUCUUCAAGAUCAUCCCAUAUCUCAAUGUUAUCGCAGACAUCAUCAAGCACAAUAAAGUACUUCCUGUUUGUUAGGUAAUCUCGAAGAAUAGAUUCCUUGAAUUGAUAAUCUUCACCGAUAAUUACACUAACCCGAGAUGGAGGCAUCACAGACUUGAUUAUGUCAUCCAAUAGCUUGCCCAAAUCGUAGAAUACAGAAACCCUGACCCAAGCAAGACAGUCAAAAUAGAACUUGACAUGAUUAUUGUUGUAAGUAUCUGCAGCAAAAGCAGUCCUAUCGAAGCCACUGCUGUCGAGAAUUGCAACCACUGAAAGCCCAGAUGGUCCCUCAAUCAAUACAUCAAACAACUUCUCUCUGCCCCUUUCAAAUUCACUGAUAUCGAGCCGAGGUUGUCCCUCAUUCAAUAGGUGAAUGAUUUCGUUACUUUUUUCACUGAUAUCAAAACCAUUGUCGCCGGGUGGGAGUUGUUGGAUCCGAUUUCUAAUAUCAAUGAUUUUACUGUGGAGUCCAAAAAGAAGAGCCAUUUUAGUACUGCUUUCACUUUCGUUUUGACUGUUUUGCUGCUGCAUGAUGUUGAUGAAGAAUGUGUCAAUGGCUUCCUCAGAUUCAUGGACAAAGUCAUUGAUGUCCUCCAGAAUUUCCAAAAUACCUCCUCUUUUAACGUCUUCAUCGCUUUCUUGUGCCUGCAACAGUUGCGAAAAAGGCAAAGAUAAUUUGGAUUCAUCGAAUCGUUCUUUAACAAGUUGAAACAAAAGCCGAGCCAUGUCAGAUUCAAAGUUUCCGAGCAGAGUGGUAGCAAUAAUCUCGGACUCCGUUAGAAGGUUUUGAAAAAGGGGAGUUAAAUUUGUUGAAUCAGGCAAAGUCAACGCGCAUUCUUCACCUGCUAACACCCUUUUUAACCUCUCACAAAAUAGUCGGAGGUGGACGUCCAGCAUAUCUCCUUCUGUCUGUAGCGCCCAGAGGUAUUGUUAUUUGCUACAAGAAAUGUUAAAACAUAGAGUAAUGAUACAGCCACAAACUCUUGUACAAACUUAUUUUGUACAAACUAAAAUGGCAUUAAUUCAUUGGUUGAAUGAAAAUAUAAAAUAAUAAAAACAAAUCAUGUGGGCCAAGUGAUAUUUAAUUCAACCAAUCUUAUCAUGCCACGUCAAUUUGUACAAAAUAAGUUUGUACAAGAGUUUGUGGCUAUAUCAUUACUCUAAAACAUAUCUCCUUCUGUCCUAUCUCAAAGUGGUUAGUGGUGUAAAAUUAAACACCAUGGAAGAAUUUGCAAGGAAUAUGCCAAGAAACUGGCCAACCCGCUUAGCUAAAUUCCACAAAUAUGACGUUAUUGCUCAUUUUUCUCUCAAACACAUAAUACACGUUCUUCGAGGCGCGUGCCUUCUGAAAAGGACAGGUAUCCAACCUCAUCUUAAUUUAAAGAAUUUUCCUUUAAAAAAAAUUUAAUAUCAAAAUGCCUUCAAUGUUAUUACUGCCGAAAGCCAAACUUCCUUUGGGUAAUUAAUUUAGAAGUUAAGCAGAGAAUAAAGUCCUAGAUUAAAUGUUUAGGUAGUUUUACAAAAUGAUAACAGCAUGCCAAAACUCGUUGUUGUCAUAUUCGACAUUUCAAAUUGAAAAAUAUGCAAGCAAUCUUCAGUGAACAUUACAUGUUUAUUGAAUAAUUUAAAUGGCCAGUAAAUCAACAGUCCGUGAGUUUUAAAUCUAUUAUGACUUAAUGUAUCUUUCUGUAUUCGUACACAGGUUAUAUUAUCAUAGUUUAAAAUUAUUUUAAAUAUUAAAAAUACUUUAAUGCUAUUAGUCUACUACACAGGUUAUAUUAUUUAUAUUAUAUUUGUAUUAAUUAAAACUUUUAAUGUCAAUUUUCUAAUUAUUAUAUUAAAAAAGUAUUAUGGUUAAGAAAAAGUUUUGGCAUUUCUUCUUGAAAAUUUGAGAGUCUGCAUGAAAAUUUUUCCAAAUUCUAAAGGUAUAGGUUUGAAAAUUUAACGUUCUGUAAAUUAAUGAAACAAAAGGGGGGAAACCAAAAACUAUUCAAUUUUGUAUUUUUUGUUUGUAAUUCAAAAAAUACAUCCACCAAACAAGUUUUACGCAUUAAUGCUGUCAUAAAACGAAAAACAGUUUGCCAAAAAAUGGUACCAAACAUUUCCUUAAUGUCUCACAUGAUUUCUUAGUAAGUCCAUAUUAGAUAUAUUUAUACAUUUUAUGUAUUUUAGUUAUAAAAGAAGUAGGUCCUCCCCCUGUUUAUAAAAAAUAACUUUAUUUCGAGAUUGCCACUAAACUCUUACAUAGAAUUAGUGUAAUGUUAAGAGAGAGUAACACAGUUUUCCAUUACCAUCUUUGAAAAUAGAGAGAUAUGGAUGCAUGCAUUUAAGAGUUAUCAUGAAAAUCAUACAAUUCAAUUUCCUGACAUAUAUAUUUAUGCACGUAUACCAAAAGAAUAAAUAGACAGAAAGUAAAUUUACAGUCCUCACUUCCUCACAAUUGUUAACGUGAAGAUGCAUUACAACUGUGAACUGUCACUACUUUAGCCUUUUUUUUUAAAAAAAAAAAAUUAUAGUGUGAUGGAGACAUCAAGGAUGAGCAUAAAAGUUAAAGAUGACUCAUUUUCUUUUUAAAGUGCUCUGCUGAAAGCCAAACUUCCUUUGGCUAAUUAAUUUAGAAGUAAAGCAGAGAAUAAAGUUCUAGAUGCCUUCUGAAAUUAGAAAUACAUUUUAUAUGCUUUAAUUAUGAUUAUUUGGUAGACUAUUGACCUAAAAGACAUGUUAAAUUAUAAAACAGUGCGAUUAAAAAAAAGAGAGUAUUUGUGACGUAGAAUAACAAUUGGUAAAUAAAUCCUAAAUAUUUGAGUUGUUAAAAGCAAAUAUAACAGAGACGGUAAGAGAGAUGCAGAAACAGAAAACUAUUAGCUUAUCUUGAUUUUCCCACUAUAUUCAUUUUCGAUGCUUUUCAAACGAGAUUCUUUUAAUUCUUCUGGUGUCUGCAGCCCCUGCUCUUCUUAUAGAUCUCCAUCCCACAUCUGCACUACGAACAAGUUGAUUAAAAUUAAAUAAUGUUGGAGACGUGGGGUGAGCCGUCAACUUGGUAAAAAAACUAUGUAUAAUAUUGUUAAUAAUAUAAAAUAUAUAGUAAUAAUUACAAAGAAUCAUAAAUUAGAAAAAUUAAUUAUUUUACAAUCUAUUUCUUAAGUAAGAUAAAUCUCAUAAUAAGUUAAGUUAUAAUGUAAAAAGUAUUUUCAAUUUAUAAUCAUUUAAGAAGUCAUUUAACAAUAAAAUCUUUCUUUUGAUCAAUUGGUCAUGCUACAAAGUAUCAUCUAUAUUUGUGGUGAUAUUAUUAUUACUCCGUAUUCUCAAAAAACAUGAUUUAACAUUUAGAGAAAAUUCAUGCCUUUUAAAAAGAACAUGUAUGCAACAACUACCAAUACUUUAUCUUACCACAACAAAACUAAUGGUGACUAAAUCAAUUUUCUUGAUUAAAGCAAAAUUUCUUAAAAUUGAUUUAAUGCACAAAUAUGAUGACUUUUUGCAAAAAUUAGUUUCGGAAAAUAUAGUGAGAGAAAAUAGUGACGAUUAUUGUUUAGAUGUGUAAAUAGCCUAAACAUGAUCGCUAAUACCAAUAUCCACGUGCAUCUUAACACCUUUCGUGAUAUUCUUUCAUUCAUGGUCACUGGUUCAAGAUUUGAAUUUAAUCAGUAAAUCAUGUUCAAUAAUAUUAGAGAUCCCAACAAUUGAGUACCAAUUUAAAUCCUAAUGCUAUAUGUCAUUGACCAAUAUUGUGUCAUUUUUUGUUAACUGGGUGAUGAAUUUCUAGUUGAUAAAAUUACUUAAAAAUAUCUUAAAAAUCAGACAAUAGUUUGCUUAAUUUUUUGAAGCUAACUGCUCAAGAUGCUCUAUUAGAAAUGAUAACCUAAUUAUAUACAUAAAAAAUGAUGUAUUUUUUGCGGUGUUGAUAGUGAGAUUAUCAUUCAACAUGUUAAAAUAUGAAAACAUAUGGAAGAUGGUUGUAAAUUGGUUGAAUGAGAAUAUUUCAGUGAAGUCUCAAAAAUUUGGUACUUGUUAUCUUAUCGAAAGUUUUCUAAAUUAUAUUCGUGGCACUGCCACUGCUUCUAUGUGAAGGUCAUUAAAAUUUGUGUUAGCUACCUAUAGGUUGAAUAACAAUUUUAUUCAUCAAUUGUUGCUCAAUAUAGCAAUUUGAUUGAAAGUGCCGCUGCACUAAUUUUCUAGAUGAACUUUCCUACAUGUUUGUCCUCAUAUGACCUAGAAUGCUGCGAUAUCAAUUGUAUUGGAAAUUAUUCAGGUGGGUUAGUGCUCUACAUCCCCACCAAAAUAUAAGCAAUGAACAAAACAUUCCUUGUGGAAAUAAACUUAAUUAUUUCGCUACUAGACUUCUAAUGAGGCCCAUUUUCCAGAAUCUGGAUACAAGUUAGAUGUCUCCCAAAAUAUUGGUGGGAGUAGACUAUAGUAGCACUCGACAACAUACUAACGACGCUAUGGUCCACCAGAAAGACCGGUCUCCGGUCAGCCGAAAAAUCUCACGUUCAGUCUCUUCUCAAUCUCCCUUCUCCCAGCCAAGUCGAUCCCGUAACAUGAUACUAAUCCACAGUUGAAUACAUGAUACUAUUAGAUCUUAUUUGAGAAUAUAAAGGGAUCUUUCUAAUUUGAGAACAUAAAUUGCCCAAUAAAGUUGAACUACGUUACCCCGCUCCAUGCACAUACAUUAAAUGUUAACAGCAUGCCAAAACUUGAUGUUGUCAUAUUCGACAUUUCAAAUUAAUAUGCAAGCAAUCUUCGGUGAACAUUACGUUUUUAUUGAAUAAUUUAAAUGGCUAGUAAAUCUAGAGUUCUUGAGCUUUAAUCUAAAUCAAAUCUAUUAUGACUCAAUGUAUUUUUUUGUAUUCGUACCAGUAAUGCAGGGGAUUAUUUACGGAACUCUUAUUAUUGACUGAUAUGUUCACCUUCAUCCAAUUAGAGAAAGAGUGACUGUAGAGGUGGCAAAAAUACCCGUCCGGUUCGGACCCGGACCGUACCCAUUACCCAGCCCGGGUAUGAAGCCGGGUCGGUCUUGGGUAUUACUUGAUAAACCCGGAACUCGGAUUUUAUUAAAAAAAUUAUAAAAUAUAUAUUAUUUUAAAUAUUUUAUAUUUAUUUGACUCAUUUAUUAUACAUAUAUAAAGUUUUAAACACUUAAAGUAUAUAUUUUCUUGUCAAAUUUUAUUGAAAUAAAUUUAAAACUUAUAAAAUUACUAAAAAAUAAAAAAUAUAUACACAUAAAAUAUUAAAAAAUAUAAAAUUCGGGUACUCGAAUUAAAACCCAGCCCGAACCCGGACCCAGACCGGUUGCAUCCGGUAGGGUCCGGUCAUGGCAAUACCCUGACCCCGCCCGGGGUUUUGCCAUCUCUAAGUGACUGGGUUCCUAUAAAGGGACUCUUAACCGUUACGAGAGUAUUCAGACUAAAAAUCUUUAUAAUUAAAUUCAAAGGUGAAGAUCUAUGCUUAUUAUCUAUUUAACAACUAAUAUAUAGUUAUCUAUUCAUUUAAAUAUCAAGGGCUAUGCUAAUAAUUAAGUUGAAAUGUUGAUGAAAGUAGCCCUACAUCUGUAUAUUACUCAUCUACUCUAAUCUUUUUUUUUUUUUAACUUAAUGUACUUUUUCUAAUGUUGUUUACUCUUCCCCCCCCCCCCCUCCUCUGACAAAAUAAUAAGAGUUUAGACUUGAAAAUAUCUUAAAGAUCAAACAGUAAUUUACCUAAUUUUUUGAAGCUAACUGCCAAAGAUAUUCUAUUAGACAUUGAUAACGUAGUUAUAUACAUUUAAAAUGAUUUUUUUUUUUUGUGGAAAGGGAUUAUCAUUCAACAUUUUAAAAUAUGAAAACAUAUGGAAGAUGAUUGUAAAUUGAUUGAAUGAAAAUAUUUCAAUGAAGAUGGUUGUAAAUUGUUAUCUUAUUGAAAGUUUUCUAAAUUUACUACUAUUUGAACUUAGCCCUCCUGGUACCGCCACCAUUUCUGCUUGAAAGUCAUUUAAGUUUGUGUUAGCUGCCUAAAGCUUUUUUUUUUUCUUUUUCUUUUUGAAAAGAGCUGCCUAUAGCUUGAAUAACUAUUUUGCUCACGAAUUGUUGUCCAUUAUAGCAAUUUAUUUAAUUGAAAGUGCGGCUGCAAUAAUUUUCUUGAUGAACUAUUCCACAUGUUUGUUCUCAUGUGAGGCAGUUUUUCUAGAAGAUUGAUAUUUCUUUAAGUCUUUAACUAGCAAAGCAUACCAGUCCAAAGCUAGCCAAACCAUACCUGCUGGUCCAGGGCUUAAAUGGAGUACUUCUAAGCAUAAAACAGUAACAAAAACACAAUAUAUGCAUACAUACAUACCAGCAAAUUCAAAAUAGAAAAAAGAGUGCAACUAUUCAAGAAAUUGGUUAUUGUAGACAAACACACAUACAAACACAUACCAGAAAAUUCAAAAAAUAGAGAAAGGAGGCCAACUAUUCAAGUUUGUAGACAAUAUUGCAAUCAUGGCAUUACUUAUAGCAAGUCCUUGAAAUCUACUAAACAAAACAAUGCUCUGUCUCAUGAAUCAAUGUUGAAUUACAGACGAAAUUGAAAGUCUAGCAGGUGUUGUUUCCCUCUUCGAUUUUGCCUACACAAGUAAAGGGAAAUAAGAAUCAUAAAUGAAAAUCAGCUUUUACAGUUGUAAUUAUUAGAUAGAUCUAGAACGAUCUUUCUUUGUUUCUCUGCUGCAAUGUGCUAUCCCACUCUGUUUUGCUACUAAAAUUGAGUCUAUGUUGAGACAUAAUUUCGACACUAGGAGCAACCGCAAUUAGUUUGGCAUUGCAUUACCCCUUGAAGGUUUUACAAUAGUUGUAAACUUACCGAGAAAGUAGAAAAAAAAGGGCAUAUGGAAUUAGGCAAGUAACUAAAGUAUGAGUCAUCAGAUAUGAUUAAAACUCACCCAAUUCAAUCCAUCAGAUUCCGUAAGGAUAUAACUGGAUGUCAAAACGCCACUCCAUAUCCUCGAACGUCCGUACCCUUUGCCGCAACUCUGUCUGGGGCCAGUGUAAGUCCAAUUUGCGCAAGCUCUUUAUGCACCAUAGCUCUUCUGGAAGCUUCCUCAAGUAAGCACAUGGGUUGACAAUUAAGCUUUCAAGUUUUGGCAUUGCUCCUGCCCCCAUCGUCCACUCAUCUAGCCAAUACAUUGACUUUAGGUGCAAAAUCUUAAGUUCCGGAAAGCCACCAGAGUCAACACAGGCCAACUUUCUUCCUAAAUACGAGUUCUUCUUCAGUUUCAGCACUUGAAGGCGUGGAAGCUUUUCCAGCUUUGGCAUGGGAUCCUCCAUUAGCUCAGUAUUUGAUAAGCUCAGAUGGCUCAGACUUAAAGGAAAUUCGUAUUCAGACAGGACAAUCCGUGAGAGCUUGCUCUCAUUCACUAGUUCCAAGCAUUCAAUUUUGUGGAGUUCGCAUACGCUUUUGGAAACCCCAGAGUGAUGGCAACUCAAAUCUCCAGAUAUCUGAAGCGUUUGAACAUUAGGUAGUCUGCCUAAUAUAUCUGGCGUGCAACUACUAGGGUGUAAGGAUGAUAUGAAAAAAAGAUUUUUCAGAGAGCUGGAAUAAUUUUUUGGAGGUGCAGGCAGAGUGAUGGAACCAAAGUUCAGAUGCAUGAGUUUUUGCAUCUUCCAAAUAUCCUCUGGUGUUUGAUCUACGUAGCUAGAUGGCAUGUCUAGUGUUUGAAGGUUUGAAAGGGUGCAUAGCGGUGAAGGAAGACAUUUGAGCGAAGGGAUAUUCAAUUUCAAAUACUUCAAAUGGAAUAAAUUUUCUAAUCCGGGUGGAUAUUGGUCCAGGACUGCAGAACCCCUGUUCAAUACCCGAAGGUGUUUGAACAUUUUACAAAAAUUCUCGCAAUCUAUCGGAUUAAGAUGAUCGCUUUCUGAACUGUAAUUCAGAAAAGAUUGAUUAGUUCUUUCAAGUAAUGUUCGGCCGUCCCCUCACUGUUGUAUGGUAUGAAACCUUCAGCUACCCACAACUAAUAUAAUUGUGUGGUAGAUAUCUGAAUGCCUGGAGGGAAGACAAACAAAUAGAUGCAGCAGACUUUCAAGUGAAAAGGUAACUCCAUCACAGAAUAAAUUUGUCUCCAAGCUGUCGGAAUCGCUUCGCCUUGAAAAUAAUUUUCUAAUGGCAUACUUCCGUAGUGUAGGACGAAAAAUUGCAAGCCUUCAAACUUUAUUCUAAUCAGUGGUCCUCCAACGAGCACUGAAUCAAGCCGAAUCUCCUCUGCGUUUUCCAUUUCCAACGACGUAAGGAGUCUUGGAUCAGCGACCAAUAUCAAUACUCUGCUUCCAUUCUGAUUAUCAGGAAGAACUUCUUCAAGAUCAUCCCAUAUCUCACUGUCAUCGAAGACAUCAUCAAGCACAAUAAAGUACUUACUGUUUGUUAGGUAAUCUCGAAGAAUAGAUUUCUUCAAUUGAUAAUCUUCACCGAUAAUUACCCUAACCCGAGCUGGAGGCAUCACAGACUUGAUUAUGUCAUCCAAUAUCUUGCCAAAAUCGUAGGCAAUAGAAACCCUGACCCAAGCAAGAGUCAAAAUAGAACUUGACAUGAUUAUUGUUAAAAGUAUCAGCAGCAGAAGCAGUCUUAUCGAAGCCACUGCUGUCGAAAAUUGCAACCACUGAUAUCGAUAGAUCAAACAACUUCUCUCUGCCCUUUUCAAAUUCACUGAUAUCGAGCCGAGGUUGUCCCUCAUUCAAUAGGCGAAUGAUUUUGUUACUUUGUUCACUGAUAUCAAAACCAUUGUCGCCGGGUGGAAGUUGUUGCAUCUGAUUUCUAAUAUCAAAGUGAAAAAUUGCUGCUUUCACUUUCGUUUUCACUGUUUUGCUGCUGCAUGAUGUUGAUAUUGACAUAAUUUUAUUUUAGUUUUUGGGGAAAAAAAUAUUUGUUGACAAGCAAGAAAAUAUUUUUAUAUUUUAAAUUUAUUAUACAUAUUUUAUCAUUUUAAAGUAAUUUUAAUAAUAAAUAGAAACAUAAUAUUACGAUAAAUAAAUUAAAGUUUAAAUUAUUUUAAAUAUUAUAAAAAAUAAUUCUAAUAUUAUUAAUAGGAAGACAUUUUGUUAAUUUUAAAAUUUUUUAACCCAAAGGUUUAUUUAAAAUUUUUAUUAUAAAUAAAAAUAUAAAAUUAAAUAUCAUAAUUUAAAUUUUUUAAUAUUAUUUAAGUAUUAAAAAUAUUUUAAUGUUAUUAGUCUACUACAUAGAUCAUAUUACUUAUAUUAUAUUUGUAAUGAUUAAAAAUUUUUAAAAUCAAUUUUCUAGUUACUAUAUUCACGAGAUAUUAUGGUUAAAGAAAAGACCUUGGUGUUACUUUUUACAAAUUUGAGUGCCUACAUGAUAAUUUUUUCAAAAUUUAAGAAUGUAUGUAUCCUUUUCUCCAAUAAUUUAUUUCACUUUUGAGGGGAAUCCAAUGAGAGAUAUGAUAAGAGAACGUCAAUUAGUUGUCAUUUUCUACUUUUUCUGUAAGCUAUUUAUUUUGAGCAUUAGUGAUCUUGUCUGGACUACUCCAAUUAUUGAUGUAACUCCAGUGACUGCAUCCACAAUUGAAUAUAUGAUAGUGUUAGCUCUUAUUUGAGAAUUUAUAUAGUCUUGCUGUUAAAGAACUCACUGAGGCAUUAUUGAUUCAAUUUCAGUGGAGCAAUCGCGGGUGAAGGAUAAAUAAAGGAUCAGAACAGAGCUGAAGUGCUAAAUUGGCUAUUGAAGAAGGAUGUCACAUGAUCACAAUCACAUUGAUGCACAACUCUCUGGAGGCAAAUUUUGUCUUUAUGUACUCUAAAUUCAGCCAAACCAUACAUGCAUGAACAAAAAUUAAACCGUCGUUCUAAUCACAACAGUAAUUGAAGCUCCAAAAGCAAGAAAAUCUGAACAAAGACUUAAAAGAAAGAUCUUAUUCAAGUUUGUCCCCAAAAGACAGCUGAAAUGAAAAAUAUUGACUAUUGAAUGGAUCAAUGCUGAAUUACAUUUGAAAUGGAAAGCUUGGCUGCAUCUAUGAUGUUUCCCCCUCUGAUUUUCCCCCAAAACAAAUUUAGUUGUAAACAAUAACGGAAGCAGCAAUAAUUUAUUCACCAAAGAAAAUGCCCAAGAUUUCAACUAACAGAUCCUCUUAUCUAAACUAAAAGAACUCAUAUCUCUAAAAUCUACCCGCAAAAUGUUGGAAAUGAGGGAUGAUCUGUCAACUCGAUAAAUAAACUCAUGCAUAAUAUUAACAAUAAUGGUAAAUUACAUAAUAAUUAUUAUAAAGAAUCAUAAACUGGAAACACUAAUCAUUCUACAAUCUAUUAUAUAAGUAAGAUAAAUCUCAUGAUAAGUUAAGUUAUAACGUGAUAAAUAUUUUCAAUAUAUAAUUAUUUAAGAAGUCAUUUAAUAAUAUAUAUUUUUUAUUUUGUUGAUCAUGUCAUAUAGCGUUAUCUAAACUCCUGACAAAAUUAUUAUUACUCACUUUUCUCAAAAAAACAUGAUUAACGUUUAGAGAAAAGUCAUGCCUUUUAGAAAGAAUAUGUAUACAAGCUAUCCAUACUUUAUCUUACCGUGACAAAAUUGAUGGUGAUUAAAUCUAUUUUUAAAAUAGAUUUAAUGCACAAAUAUGAUGACUUUUGGCAAAAAUUAGUUUCGGAAGAUAUAGUGGUAGAAAAUAGUGAUGAUUAUUGUUUAAAUGUGUAAAUAGCCUAAGCAUAGCCCGUAAUACCAAUAUCCAUUUGCACCUUCAUUUGGAUUAUCACAUUUCAUGAUAUUUUUUCAUUCAUGUCCAUUGAUCAAGAUUUGAAUUUGAAUAUAAAUUAAGCUGCAAGGGAGCUUACUUCGGUUUCUAAGCUUUCCAAUUGUGAUUCCUGCAUGCCUUGCUCUGAUACUAUUUUGUUACAUACCAAUGUAACCAACCUUGUAAUUGGUCUGUAUAAGAAAUCAAGCCCUUUUAGAAUCGUUUUCUUUUGUUUCCCCAUUGUAGUAGUCAACUAAAUAAAGAAUGAACAACUGAACUUGAUCUAUUUUGAUGAAGACCAAGGCCUUCAAUACUAGAUGAACUUUGAAGAAGAUUAAUCUACUGCUUUUAUUCAUCUUUGGACUAUGAAUUUAUACAAAGACUUUAACAGAAAAUAACAAAGACACAACUAAAUGAUAGCAACAAGUGUUGACUUACUGGACCACUUCUACAAGUAAAAAAAAACUAAAUAUUUAUUUUGACUAUAACAACAACUACCCUGAUGAACAACACUCCACAGCAGCCACGUGACAACUAAUUUCUCCUUAAUAUUAUUAUUAGUAGAAGUAGAUUUUCAAACUAGUCUUGAUAUAUUUCAAAGUUGUAUUAACAAUUUAUAUGUAUCUAGAUUGUAACUAUAUUUUUUAAAAAUAAAAUAUUUUAAUUAUUGCACAUUAAAUGUAGAAGAAUAUCUGUAAAAUAAUAUUAUUAGGACUAAAAAAUAUUAUUUUAGAUAAGUUAUUUAUUUAUUAUUGAAUUAAUAAUUUAUUAAUUAUUAGCAGAAGUAUAUUUUCGAACUAGUCUUGAUAUAUUUCAAAGUUGUAUUAACAAUGUAUAGGUAUCUAGAUUGUAACUAUAUUUUUAAAAAAUAAAAUAUUUUAAUUAUUGCACAGUAAAUGUAGAAGAAUAUCUGUAAAAUAAUAUUAUGAGGACUAAAAAAAUAUUAUUUUAGAGAAGUAUUUUUUUAUUAUAGAAUUAAUAAUUUAUUAAUUAAUUUAUAAAUGAAUAUUUAUUAAUUUAAAGAGAGACUUUUUUGGUUUUAUGAAGAGUAUGUUUGGUACAUGUUCACACUUAUAAAGAAACACAAAAAAUGCUUCCUCAAGUCAACGGUAUUUGCUUUAAUCGCUACUGUUCAUAAUAAUAUAGCUUAGUUAGGAAAUUUGUAAUUAUAAUAUGACUCUUUUAGUACAACUUUUCAAGUAGAGUUUAUUUAGGUAGAGAUUUUGUUAGGAGAGGUAUUAUAAAUAGAGAUUUCACUAAAAAAAUUUAAUUAUUUGAUUAUAAUAUCCAAAUUGAAGAACUUUUGUUCUUUUGUUAACAUCUGUUUGUUUUACUUAAUAAUAAAAGUUUAGUUUACAAUUACACCGGUGUCAAAUCAGCAGAGCAUCGGCAAGAGUUUUCGAUUGUUGCAAUUUGCAAUGCAUGCGGUACAUGCACGCACUAAUAAAGAAACACAAAAAGUGCAUUCUCAAGCCAAUAGUAUUUGUUUUUAAUCGCUACUUUGCAUAAUAAUGUAGCUUAGUUAGGAAAUUUGUAAUUAUAUUAUGCCUCCAUUUGGUAUAAUUUUUUAAUUAGAACUUAUUUAAGGAGAACUAUUGUUUGUAGAGUUUUUAUAAAUAGAAAUUUUAAUUAAAAAAAAUUAUAAUUAUUUAGUUGUCAAUGUCCAAAUUGAUGAACUAUUGUUCUUUUUGUUAACAUGUGUUUGUUUUACUUAAUAAUAAAACUUUAGUUUACAAUUACACCGGUGUCAAAUCAGCAGAGCAUUUUUGCAGCCCGUCACAUUAUACAUUAUACUAAUAGCAUCGGCAAGAUUUUUCGAUUGUUGCAACUUGCAACGCACGCGAUGCGAGAAAAUGAGAAUCUUGUUUAAUUGUGAAUAAUGACAAACCUAAUCCUUUCAUUAGGAGCAAUUUAAUAAUCGUUUGUUAUAAUUGAAUAGGUAUAAAGAAAGGACAACUCUAUUCAUAGAUUCGGCUUAUUUUUUGUUUAAAGUAAUUAAUCCUCUAAAACUGAAUUUUAUUUUAUCUGGUGCAUGUUAAAUGAUGUGAGGCCUAAUUUAGGUUUUUGGUUAGCGAAUCAAUUUCAAAGUGUGCUUAAACGGUAUAGGACUUUAUUUCCUGGUCCAUACAUUACUCUGUUAGCUAUAAACCUAUGUGUGCUUGAUCCCGACAAUAAUGAUUUGCAUCCUGCUUGCAAAAAGGAAUUUUUGGAUAUGUCUGUGUUUGAAAGAACAGGUGUGGUCGAAUUCAAGAAGGGGAGAUUUUAGUUUACUGAACCAGGACCCACUCAACUUCCGAAGAAGCUUUAUGCUAGGAGUGGUGCUACCUCUGAUGACGAGUUUGACGACGACACUGCUGCCCCGCCAACUAUUCCUUCUACAUCCGCACCACCUUUGAGCAUUCAGUUAGAGAAAAUGGAGCACAAGCUGAACAAGAUGGAGCAGAAUUUGGCCGCAUACUUCGAGAGUGUGGGAUUUACCCCACCAUUUUCGCCAAGCCCAUAGACGUUAUGUGGAUCAAAGCUCACAAUUCAGGGAAGUUUCUUUUUGCCCUUAAUCUUUUAUCCUUACGCUUUAAUUUUUAUGUGAGCUUUGAUUAUCUUACAUUGGGGACAAUGUAAGUUCUUGGUGUGGGGGAGGGAUUUUGAUGUCUGGAAUUAUUAUUUUCACUCUACUCAUAUAUUUUCACUCUACUCAUCCUUAAAUGAUUUUGGAGUUAGUAUGCUUCAUACAUUAUUAAUUUUCUUUUCCUCUCUCUCUCACUACUCUUUUCCCAUCUAUCUCAAAUUAUUUACAUCUAUUUUUAUUCUAUCAUACUCUUUCAUCACUCACAUUUUAUCUUUCACUUUUCAUAUUACUACAUACAUCUUUCUCACUUCUUAUCAUUUUUACAUUUUCUUUUAUAUAUCACUCAUACCUUCUUCUCAUUCUACACCACUAUUGAUGGUUGAUUCAUUUGAAGAGUGUACAUGAUUUGAUGGCAAAUUUACCAACUUUGUGAGGAUUUGAGCCUAUGAGCAACCACUUUGCUCUAAUAUUUUUGUUGUGUGAAUAUCAAUCUUAGUUUGUUUAUUGUAGAACUUGCUUUGUUAUGCAUGUUGAAGCCGCAUUACGGGAUUUUAUGCAUUAAAAUGAUAAGGGCAAACCCUUUUCCAUUUUUCUAUUCUCGCAUUUUUUUUUCUCUACCCGAAGACCUUUAUUUGCUAUCUUUGUUUGAGCCUUAACCAUUACCCACCUAAUUUUCUCCGUCUACUUAACCAUUUUUCUUCUUUUUGAGCCUCAAUUUACGGAGAUUUUUGGACUCAUUGUGUGGAUGUAUUUUGUUGCUUUUUCUACCUUGUAAUAAAGUUUCUCAAUUAGAUCAACAAGCAUUAUGCUUGAAUUAAAUUGUGCAAGGUUCGUUUCUUUUGUUUGAUUCAAAAAUAAAAAAAAACAACAAAAAAAAAGAAAAAGAAAAAUCCAAAAAAAAGAAAAAAAAAUGUUUACAUUCUUGGUGACUUGAGUAGAAAUAAGUAUUUUGAUAUCAUAAGUUCAUUCAAUGAGUUCAUUCUUCUCAUUUUGAUCUCUUUUUCUUUCGUAAACCUUUCUUUUUCAUUCAACCUAUUUAACCCCAUUACAACCCUUUUAAGACCCUUAGAUUUUUGCAUUUUAUUCAUGUUUUGUGGAUUGAGAUGUGAUAUAUGAGCAAGCUUAUGGUAAUAGCAUUCUUUGAUUUGAUUUGAGUGAAUAAAUGACACCCUAAACACUUUGAGUGCAUGGAGUGAAGUUAUUGAGAGGGCUAUUAAAUCUUGUUGCACUUGAAUUUUGAAUGGAUCUUCUUGGUGGUUGAAUGUUCUUAUUCUAUCUUAUGAAAUUCUAUGCUUUAAAAUCCUUGUCUCUUGAAUGUUGAUCGACUUAAUUUCUUGAGGUAUGCUUGCUUAAAAUUGUUUUUGGAUGAGUUGAGAUGAGAAUUGAGUGGAGAUUUGAGAUUAAUCUUGAGUUAUAUGCUUGAGGACAAGCAUCAUCUUGGUGUGGGGGAAUUUGUUAGAGUGCAAUUUAUGCACUAGUUUUGCAUUGUUUACUUCCCUUAAUAUCGAUGUUUUACACUUAAUAAUAGUGAUUUACUUGUGUUUUACUUUUGUAGGUGCAAUUCUAUUGAUUGGUGAUAAAAUUGAGCUAUAAGAUGAUGUUUAAGGAUGAUUGUUCUCUUGGAGAAAUUAUGAGCGGCAGAAGAACUUUGUUGAUAAGGCGUGGGCGCGUGCUGUCAACUGCGGACCUGCAGUUUUUAGUUUAACAUGUUUUGUAUUUUUGUAAUUACGAAUUUAAUAUUUCAGAUAUUAGUAUUUUAUUUUAAAUAGAAUUCUAAAAGAGAGGAGAGAGAGAGAGUAUUUAAGGGAGGAAUCUAUUGUGAAAAAGGGGGAUUUAGAUUGGAGAAAAGAAAAUAAACCCUAAAUCUAAUUUUUCUCUUCUCUCUAUGAAGAACUAAACUUAUUUUUUCUGGUUGAAGGUUAAUGAAGCUUUGAUUCAUCACUACUGUGAGAUCUUUUUUAUGCUUUAAUUGUUUUAUUACUUUUUGGGUAAUUGUUUAUUCUCUGAAUUAGUUUCAUGAUUAUGUUUGUUAAUUAGGUAAUUGGCCACUAUUUAAUUAUCAACUUAAUCUAUUGUCAAUUAAAGGAUUCAUCGUAUGAAGAUUUUAAUGUUUGUGACAAAUAACAUAGCAGUGAGUUGUGUUAUGAGAAUAAACAAUCUAAUUUAAAUGAAUCAUCAUAUGUGUUGAUUAGGAUUUGGAUCUCUCUGGUUUUUCAGGCUGUCAAUUGAUUAAAUCCUAUGAUCGUAUCUAGGGUUGUCUAUUGAUUAGGGAAAUAUCCAACGGUCGUACCUUGGUUAUCGACUAGUUAAGGAGAGAUUGGCUAUUAGAGGGUCUCAAUAGCUAUAACCGGUCUAUUCAUAAGUAAUAAUAAUCUAUAUUUGAAUCAAUGAUCAGUAGUCGAAUCAAGCUGAGUUAAUUCCUUCAACCAGAGCUUUCUCUAAUUUGAAUUACAACUUUAAUUUGCAUUCUUGUUAUUUUAAUUUGAUUUUUAUUAUUGUCAACAAUUCCCCCAUUUUACUUUUUACGUUUCAAAAGGAUUUAAAUAAUUACCGAUCUCUGUGGACACGACCCUGCUCAAUCACUAUACACAAUUUAUUUAGAGUAUGAAUUUAUUUUUGUUGGCUUCGACAACCAUCGGUAGUAAAAGAAUUUUACUCCAAUUUGGUAAGCCCUGGUCAGCACAACAUUUGGGUAAGAAACUCACUUGUUCCAUUAGACUCUCGAGUUAUAAAUGUUUUUUAUAAUUUACCUGCUGAAAUUAAUUGUGAGUAUGCCAAGUUGCUUGACAAAUUGACCCCGCAACAAUGGAACACGAUUUUCACGACACUUACAGUAGAGGGUGCAUCGUGGGCUAAUGAGGACGGGCGUGUAAUUAACAGGAUAGAUUUAAAACUCAUUGCUAAGGUGUGGGUGAAAUUUCUGAAAUCUAGGCUUAUGCCAACCACCCACACCACUACUGUUUCACAGGAAAGGUUGGUGUUGUUAGAUGCUAUUGUUAGAGGGCUUCCCAUAGAUGUGGGAAGUAUUAUCGAAAAAGAAAUUCGAGUUUGUACCAUGAAAAACCACAAGGCUGCUGCCUUGUUAUUUCCUUCACUCAUAACCAGCAUAUGUAUAGUAUCAGGUGUUCAUCUUGAUGCAAAGGAUGAAAUUUGUAAUUAUAUUAUGGCUCCAUUUGGUAUGACUUUUUAAUUCGAACUUAUUUAAGGAGAAUUUUUAUUAGUAGAGUUUUUUAUAAAUAGAGAUUUUACUAAAAAAAUAAUUAUAAUUAUUUAGUUGUCAAUGUCGAAAUUGAUGAACUAUUGUUCUUUUUGUUAACAUGUGUUUGUUUUACUUAAUAAUAAAAGUUAAGUUCACAAUUACACCGGUGUCAAAUCAGCAGAGCAUUUUUGCAGCCAGUCACAUUAUACAUUUUUGCAACUUGCAAUGCAAGCGACGAGAGAAAAUGAGAAUCUUGUUUAAUUGUCAAUAAUGACAAACCUAAUCGUUUCAUUAGGUGUAAUUUCAUAAUCGUUUGUUAUAAUUGAAUCUGUAUAAAGAAAGGAAAAUUAUAUUCGUAGAUUCGACUUAUUUUUUGUUUAAGGUAAUUAAUCAUUCAACCAUCUUCAUUUGCCCCUGGCCACUGCCCUUGUAGAUUAGUUGAAGCGUUAAUUACUUAAUUUAGAUAAUUACAACGUCCUUUUCGCUAAUUAAUUAUGAUUAUAUACGUUUUCAUAUAGCAAGUGGCAUUGUAGAUCUAAAUUAUGUUGCUAUUUCAAUACGUUAAUUAAGUGAUUCUCCUCAUUGUCAUCAAGUGGAAAAUAGCUCAAUUGUUUCCCUGCAUCGAUUUUCAUUGGUAAGUGAUUUCUUAUGAUAUUCGUUUGAGCUUUCCUUAUUAAAAAAGCUUGAGCCUUGAUCACCUAAUACUGAUAUCAAUUUACUUGUGAACGAUUUUGUAAUGAAAUUAGGAGUUAAAUAUAUAAGAUUUUUACCUGAUGAAUUUUGAUUUUUUUUUUAAUUUUUUGAUGUAGUCAAUUUGCGAAUUUUAUAUGUUUCAUAUUCAACGGAAUUUGGGCACGGAAAGUUUGGAUUCUAAUAUUUAUAUAUUUAGCUUUAAUCAGUUUGACUUUAGCAAUCUUUUUCCCUCAUCAUUAAGGGAUUCAGAAUUAGAGAAACGCUAGGAAGAGGAAGAAAAUAACUUUGGAAAUAAGUAAGGGGGAAAAAUUAUGAAAUUUUGAAUUAUUUUUUGUAAAAUAUGUUGCGUUUACUAAACUUGAAUUAGAAUGAGCUGAAAUUAGAAUGAUUAGGAAUGCAAAUGUGCUGAAAUCGGAAUAGGUAAUGAGAAUAAGAAUAAGUUGUUUACUUGAACUGUAAAAAUCAAAAUCGAAAUGAGCUGAAUUGCAAUUACUUUAUCUUGGAAGCGGAAUUGGAAUCGGAAUGAGUUAGAUUGUAACAAAUUACUAAAAAGUACUUAAUGAAUUAUUGUCAUAAUUAUUAUUUUAUAUUUUAAUUAUAGUGAUUAUUUAUUCAAAAAUUAUUAUUAUUAAUUAUUUUCAAUAAUAUAUUAAUAUGUUAAUUAAUUUUAAAAAUUAUUAAUUAAUUUAUUAUAAUAAUAUACUAAUUAAUUAUAAUAAUUAUAAAAAUAUAUUAAUAAUAAAAUUACUAAUUUAAUUAUAAUAAUAUAUGAAUUAAUUAUAAUAAUUACUAAAUUAAUUAUAAUAAUUAUAUUAGUAAUUAUUAUAAUAGUAUAUUAAUUAAUUAUAAUAAUAAAAAUAUAUUAAUUAUGUGAUUAUUUAUUCAAAAAUUAUAAUUAUUAAUAAUUAUUGUUAAUAAUGUAUCAAUAUACUAAUUACAUAUAAUAAUUAUUAUAAAAAUAUAUUAAUUAUUAAUAAUAAAAUUACUAAUUUAAUAAUAAUAAUAAUAAUAUAUUAAUUAUGUGAUUAUUUAUUCAAAAAUUAUAAUUAUUAAUAAUUAUUGUUAAUAAUGUAUCAAUAUAUUACUUAAUUAUAAUAAUAUAUUAAUUAAGUAUAAAUGAGGACAAAGGGGGUAUUUUUAAUUUCACGUAGGGGCAAAAUGGUCAAUUCUAGUAAUGGGAGACUCACUCCCACCCUCUCCCUUGGGAAUGAGUCUCCCAUUCCUCAUUCCCAAAUUGUGGUGGGCCCCAUGAUUUUGACUCUGAUUUUUGACUCAAUUUUGCGAAGUAAACGCUACUAAUGAUUCUGAUUUUGGAUUCUGAUUCACUUAUCCGAGAAGUAAAAGCAACAUAAAUGUGUAUGAAUAAUUGAUACCUAUGAAUAGUUUUGGGAGUUUUAGUUAGGAGUCAUUUAUUGAAGAUGUUUAGCAAUUAAAGAUCUCUGACUCAGUAGUUUUCCCAAUCAAAAUCAAGAAGCAAAACAACUUGCCAUUUUUCUACUUGAUAAUUAAUUGAAAUUUAAGAAAAUACAAUGGCAUUUCAAUUAGAAAUGGUAAUUGUUUAUCUUUUUUCAUUGAUCAAAUUCUAAUCGUGAUCCAAUAGUUAUGGAUGAAGGAAAUAUUAUGAGAGGCGAUAGGCCAAGUGAAGACGUACCAGCAAAUUCAAAAUAGUCGGGAGGUGGACGUCCAGCAUAUCUCCUUCUCUCUGUAGCACCCAGAUGUAUUGUUAUUUGCUCCAAGAAAUGUUAAAAGGAUUGGCCCUAUCUCAAUGUGGUUAGUGGUGAAAAAUUAAACACCAUGGAAGGAUUUGCAAGGAAUAUGCCAAGAAACUGGCUAAGUUCCACAAAUAUGGCAUUAUUGCUCUUUUUUUUUAAAGAAAAAUUAUACACGUUAAUUUAGCAAAAAGUCUAAGACACAUGCCUUUUGAAAAGAAUAGCUAUUACCAUGACACAAUCGAUGCGGCUGAAACCAAAAUUUUCUUUUCUUAAUGUAAAGAUUUUUUUUAAAUAGAUUUUAAUAUUAAAAUGCCCUUCGAUGUUAUUACUGUCACAAGCCCUGUAACAGGAGUAAUAAAAAUUUUUAGAAUUUGUUGGGCAUGAAAAAAGUAGUAUUAAACAUCAGCAAGCAAAGGUUGUUCUGUUAAAGAAUUGAUAUUGACGUGAUUUUAUUUUGGUUAUCGAGAAAAAAAAAUAUAUUUGUUGAUAAGUAAGAAAAUAUUAUUAUAUUUUACAAUCUAUUAUACAUAUUUUAUUAUAUUAAAUAACACUAAAUAGAAACAUAAAAUUAGAAUAAAAUAAAUUAAAAUUAAAAUUAUUUUGAAUAUUAUGUAAAAAAUAAUGUUAAUAUCAUUGUUACUUGUAAAAUAUAUUUAGCCCAAAGAUUUAUUUAAAAUUUUAUAAUAAAUAAAAAUAUAAAAAUAAAUUAAAUAUCAUAGUUUAAAAUCUUAAUAUUAUUUUAAAUAUUAAAAAUACUUUAAUGUUAUUAAUCUACUACACAUGUUAUAUUAUUUAUAUUAUAGUUGUAUUAAUUAAAAAUUUUAAAGUCAACUUUCUAGUAACUAUAUUCAAAGGUAUUAUGGUUAAAUAAAGGUCUUAGUGUUUCUUUUCAAAAUUUGAGGGUCUACAUGAUAAUUUUUCCAAAUCCUAAGGUAUAGGUGUCCUUUUUAUCAAUAAUUUAUUUCACUUUUGAGAGAAUAUGAUGAGAAAUAAGAUCAGAGAAAUGUCAAUUUAAUGUUAUCUAGCUUAAUGAUAAAAAAAUGGAAACCAAGAACUAUUCAAUUUUGUAUUUUUUGUUUGUAAUUCAAAAAAUCCAUCCACCAAACAAGUUUCACGCAUUUAUGUUAUCAUAAAACAAAAAAAAAAACAGUUUGUGAAAAAAUGGCACCAAACAUACACUUAAUGUCCCACAUGAUUUCUUAUGAAGCCCAUAUUAGAUAUAUUUAUACAUUUUACUGCAUUUAGGACAUGUUUGAUAGCCUGCAUUAUAUAGGAUAAAAACACAAUUUUGUAUUAAAUUAAUGCACACUCACGUUUGGCGCUAAAAGUAACUCCAGCCACAUUGCAUUAAUGGACUGCUAAUGCGGCAAUUGCCGCACUAGCUUGCCUCUUUUUCUUUUUAAUUUUAUUUAUAAUAAUAAUAAUUACAUAAUAUAACUUUUUAUUUUAAUAUAAUAUUAUAUAAUAUUAAGUAUAAUUUUUUUUACAUUAUAAUUAUUGAUAUAAAUUAAUAAAUUAAUUAUUUAUUAUUCAAUAAUAUUAUAUUAUAUAUUUUUUUUAUUUUUACAUUAUAAUUUAUUAGUAAAUUUAUAAUUUAAUAUAAUUAAUAAUAAUAGAAAAUAUCAUUACAUGUACUACAAAACUCUUACUUGGAUUAUUUAACACAAUUUAUUUUAUUCGUGAAUAUGUUAUAACAAUUGUAUCACUUUAUUAUUUUGUUAUUAUUUUGUGGUAUGUAUAAAUUUUUGUUCUAUUAUCCUAAGAUGACUUUUGAACUAAUCUUAUAAGUUUUAACUAUUUAUUUAUGUUGUUAUAUUAUUAGAGAUUAUUUGCUUCGAUCUUUAUUUUACAGGUCAUAUAUUUAGAAAUUACUGAAAAAUAAAUGUUAUACUUCCCAAAAUUUAAGGCUAGAAGCUCGAUCUUUAUGAAGAAUUUUGAUAUUUUUUAACAUUUACACUAAAAAAAAUUGUUAAAUUUCUAAAAUUUAAGACUUCUAUAUUUAAUAUUUUUCUAAUUACUAAUAAGUAUUAUUUUCUAAAUAUAUAAUUUAAAUUAAUCACAAAAAAUUAAUAUAGUACAGUGCAAUAUCAAAUAUAGUAUAAUUAAAAAUUAUACAGUGCAAUAUAGCACCAAAUAUUGUACACUAUUAUUAUAAUAUAGUACUAAUGCAAUACAAUAUAAUACAAUAUAGUGUGCCAAACGCACCCUCAGAAUGUGUUUGGAACAUGGGAUUAUAGGGUAUUAAAACACUGUUCACAUUAGCUUAAUACCAAUCUCAUGUUUGGAAAGAAAUUUUAAGGGAUUAAAGGGGGGUGAGCUAAUGUCAUAACUGCGUCAUUAGUGUCUUGGUUUUUUUUAAAUAAUAAAAAAAAUAUAAAUUCCUAAUUUUAUGUAAAAUUAUAUAAUAUUAAUUUUUAUUUUCUUUGAUCUUUACAUCAUAAUUAUUAAUAUAAGUUAAUAAAUUUAUAAUUUAUUAUUCAUAUUUUAAUUUUUAUUAUAUUAAAAAUAUAACUAAAUAAUUUAAUUUUAAUUCUAUAAUAAUUAAUGUAUAAAAUUGAUUAAUAUUUAAUAAGUCAAUACAACUAGUAAUAAGUGCUUAAAUAAUAUAUAAAAAUAAAAAUAUAACAUAAUAUUACAUUAUUUAAUUAUAUUACAAUAACUAAUAUAUAAAAAUUGAUUAUUAUUUAACAAUUUAAUAUAGCUAAUAAUAGAUACUUAAAUAAUAAUUUAAUAUAACUAAUAAUGAAUAUUUAUAUAUGAAUAUAUUUAAAUAAUAUUAAUUUAAAAUUAAUACCAAUAUAUAUAAUAAUAUAAAAUAUUAUUACAUGUACUGUAGUAUUCUUACUUGGAUUAUUUAGCGCAAUUUAUUUUAUUAGUGAAUAUGUUACAAUUAUUGUAUCACUUUAUUAUUUAAAUUAAUCAAAAAAAUUAAUACAGUACAAGAUAGCACUAAACAUUAUAUAACAUUAUUAAAAUACAGUGUUAAUGCAAUAUAAUGUAAUACAAUACAUCUAUAUUAAAAUAAUAUAAUAUAAUAUAAUUUAAUAUAAUACAAUAUGUCAAAUGCACCCCGUGUAUUUUAAUUUCAAAAGAAGUUGGUCCUUCCUUUAUUUAUAAAAGAUAACUUUAUUUUCAGAUUACCACUAAUUACGAUUAUUUGGUAGACUAUAGACCUAAAAGACAUGUUAGAUUAUAAAACAGUGCGAUUAAAAAAAAAAGAGUAUUUGUGACGUCAAAUAACAAUUGGUAACUAAAAUCCAAAAUAUUUCAGUUGUUAAAAGCAAAUAAAAAAAAGAAGGUAACAGUGAUGCAGAAACACAAUAUUAGCUUAUCUUGAUUUUCCCACUUUAUUCAUUCUCAAUGCUUUUCAAAAGAAAUUCUUCUAAUCCUUCUGGUGUCUGCAGCCCCUUAUCACGGGACGAGAGGUUUUGAGCCCGCGUGGCACUCUCGCAUCCCAUACUACGAGAGUAAACCUAGUGGAAGUGGCACAAUAUCGACUGGUUUCACCCUGCCUUGGGCUCAUCAGGAGAACGGCUCCAGUUCCCAACCAGUGUGUGUAGGGCUUCGCUUAGACUCCUCUUCAACGUUAAAUCCUCGACUAGCAACAAGCUCCCCAAAGUCAACUGGGUUGGCCUGCCUGAACUCCAAGAAAUCUAGGAUCAUUGUAUUCCCCACACGCACGCCCCUGAAGCACGUCUCCUGCAAUCAGCACAACUAUUAUCGAUACUAGUGUACAAGCGCAUAUCUUCGGCAUCACAAUUGCAGUCCGUGACACCCUGCUCUUCUUAUAAAACUCCACCCCAAAUCUAUACUACAAACAAGUGGAUUGAAAUUAAAAAAUUGCUUUUUGAAGUGGACCCAUUGAGUCGUGGUCAUUACUCGUCAUUGUCUAUUUUUUCUAUGAGCCAUUUAUUUUGAGCAAUAGUGAGCUUCUCUGAACUACUCCAAUUAUUGAUGUAACUCCAGUGGCUGCAUCCAUAGUUGAAUAUAUGAUAGUAUUAGCUCUUAUUUGAGAAUAUAGGGGGAUCUUUCUUUGUUUCUUUGUUGCAAUGUUCUAGUAUAUAGUCUUGCUGUUAAUGAAUUCACUGAGGCAUUAUUAAUUCAAUUUCAGUGAAGUAAUUAUGGAUGAAAAAUAAAUAAAGGAUAACAGAAUAGAGCUGAAGUGCUGAAUCGGCUAUUAAAGAAAGUGUCACGCGAUCACAAUCACACUGAUGCACAACUCUCUCGAGGCAAAUUUUGUCUAUAUGUACUCCAAAUUCAGCCAAACCAUACAUGCCUCAACAAAAUUAAACCGUAGUUCUCAUCACUACAGUAAUUGAAGCCCACAAAGACAGCUGAAAUGGAAACUUAAAACGAAGAUCUUAUUCGAGUUUGUCCCCAAAAGACAGCUGAAAUGGAAAAUAUUGACUAUUGAAUGGAUCAAUGCUGAAUUACAUUUGAAAUGGGAAGCUUGGCUGCGGUUACGAUGUUUCCCCCUCUGAUUUUUCUCCAAAACAAAUUCCGUUGUAAAUAAUAUUCAAUGUAGCAACAAUUUAUUCAGCAAAGAAAAUACCUAAUUUUUCAACUAACAAAUUCUCUUGUCUAAACUAAAAAAACUCACAUCUCUCCAAUCUAUCUACAAAUUUGGAGAUGAGAGGUGAUUUGUCAACUCGGUAAAUAAAUUCAUGCAUAAUGUUACCAAUAAUUAUAAAUUACAUAAUAAUUCUUAUAAGAAUCAUAAUAAAGGAACCUUAACCAUUUUACAAUCUAUUACAUAAGUAAGAUUAAUCUUAUAAUAAGUUAACUUAUAACUUAAUAAAUAUUUUCAAUUCAUAAUUAUUUAAGAAGUCACUUAACAAUAAAAUAUUUUUUUAUUUAAUUGAUCAUGUCAUAUAACGUUAUCUAAACUCCCGACGAUAUUAUUAUUACUCACUUUUCUCAAAAAAACAUGACUAACGUUUAGAGAAAAGUCAUGUCUUUUAGAUUGAUAGAAUACGAUUACAAACUAUCCAUACUUUAUCGUAGGCUAUAGAAACCCUUACCCAAGCAUGACAGUCAAAAUAGAACUUGACACGGUUAUUAUUGUAAGUAUCUGCAGCAAAAGCAGUCUUAUCGAAGCCACUGCUGUCGAGAAUUGCAACCACUGAAAGCCCAGAUGGUCCCUCAAUCAAUAGAUCAAAAAACUUCUCUCUGCCCCUUUCAAAUUCACUGAUAUCGAGCCGAGGUUGUCCCUCACUCAAUAGGCGUAUGAUUUCGUUCCUUUUUUCACUGAUAUCAAAACCAUUGUCGCCGGGUGGAAGUUGUUGCAUCCGAUUUCUAAUAUCAAUGAUUUUAGUGUGGAGUCCAACAAGAAGAGCCAUAUCAGUACUGCUUUCACUUUCGUUUUCACUGUUUUGCUGCUGCAUGAUUUUGAUGAAGAAUGUGUCAAUGGCUUCCUCAGAUUCAUGGACAAAGUCAUUGAUGUCCUCCAGAAUUUCAAAAAUAUCUGCUGUUUCAACGUCUUCUUCAUCGCUUUCUUCUAAGUCCAACAGUUGCAAAAAAGGCAAUGAUAUUUUGGAGUCAUCUAAUUCUUCUCUAAGGAGUUGAAACAAAUGCCGAGCCAUGUCAGCUUCAUAGUUUCCCAGCAGAGUAGUAGCAAUAAUUUCGGACUCCGUAAGAAGGUUUUGAAAACGUGGAGUUAAAUUUGUUGAAUCUGGCAAAGUUAACGUGCCUUCUUCACCUGCUAACACCCUUUUCAACCUCUCACAAAACAGUCGGAGGUGGAAUUCCAGCAUAUCUCCUUCUCUCCGUAGCACUCAGAGGUAUAGCUGAAAGAUUAAACACCAUGGAAGAAUUUGAAAGGAAAAUGCCAAGAAAUUGUGUAAGUGGCUAAAUUCCACAAAUAUGACAUUAUUGCUCAUUUUUUAACUCAAAAAAAGGGUACGCGUUCAUUUAGAGAAAAGUCCAAGACGCGUGCUUUUUGAAAAGAACAGGUAUCCCAAUCGGUAUCCAACCUUUAUCUUAUUUAAUUACUACCAUGACAUAAUUGAUGGUGCUUAAAUCAAUUGUUUCUUUUUUAAUUUAAAGAAUUUUUCAUUAAAAAAAUAUUUUAAUAUCAAAUUGCCUUCAGUGGCGUAACAACUGCCUGAAGCCCAGUAACAGGACUAAUUAAAAAUUUUACAAUUUUUGGGCAUGGAAAUAGUAGUAUUAAACAUUAGAAAGGUGAGGUUGUUCUGUUAAAGAAUUGAUAUUGACAUAAUUUUAUUUUGGUUUUCGUGGAAAACAAAAAUAUUUGUUGACAAGCAAGAAAAUAUUUUUAUUUUUUAAAAUUUAUUAUGCAUAUUUUAUCAUAUUGAAGUAAUUUUAAUAAUAAAUAGAAACAUAAUAUUACAAUAAAUAAAUUAAAAUUUAACUUAUUUUGAAUAUUAUAAAAAAUAAUUUUAAUAUUAUUAAUAGGAAGACAUUGUAUUAAUUUUAAAAUUUUUUAACCCAAAGGUUUAUUUAAAAUCUUUAUUAUAAAUACAAAUAUAAAAUUAAAUAUCAUAAUUUAAAAUUUUUAAUAUUAUUUUAAGUAUUAAAAAUAUUUUAAUGUUAUUAGUCUACUACAUAGAUCAUAUUACUUAUAUAAUAUUUGUAUUAUUAAAAAUUUUUAAAAUCAAAUUUUUAGUUAGUAUAUUCAUGAGGUAUUAUGGUUACAAAAAAAAGACCUUAUUAUUACUUUUUAAAAAAUUGAGGGUCUGCGAUGAUAAUUUUUUCAAAAAGAAAAUACAUGGUAUGUAGGAGGGGUAGAGAAACAGGACUUCCAAAAUCUCUCACCCUUCUUUAAUUAAAAAAAAAAUUAAAAUAUUAAUAAAAAAUAAUAAAGAAAAUAGAAUUUUAUCUGCUCCUUACUCCAUUUUUGCAACUCUCUCAACAUCUCUGUCGAGCAGCCUUCUCUCUCAUUGUCUCUCACUAUUUCACGAUCUCUCUCUCACUCACACAGGCAAUGACCAUCUCAUCAUCGGCGGUCGUGUCGUCAGUGUCACUGGUCUUGCUCGACCGAGACAGUGAGAGAGAGGUUUGUUAGAUGGAGUGAUGAUAAAGGAUUCUAUUUUUUUUAUUAAUAUUUUAAUUUUUAAAAUUAAAAUGUGCUGCCGUUUCUCUUGUCUUUUUAGCUGUUUAGCAGCACUCUUUUCAAAAUUUAAGAAUGUAGGUGUCCUAUAAGAGAUCGAUAAAAGAACGUCAAUUAAAUUUAUAAAAAUAUGAUAAAAGAACGUCAAUUACUUGUCUUUUAGGGAAUCCAAUGAGAAAUAUGAUAAAAGAACGUCAAUUACUUGUCAUUUUCAAUUUUUUUCUGUAAGCUAUUUAUUUUGAGCAUUAGUGCUCUUGUCUGGACUACUCCAAUUAUUGACGUAACUCCAGUGGCUGCAAUUAAUGAUAUAAAGCUGAGACUUUUGACCAAGUUAUCUAGUUGGGAAAGCAAAUUUUUUUCCAGUGGGGGCAAAGAAGUGUUGAUUAAAACUGUUGCUCAGGCUGUGCCAGUCUAUGCAAUGAGUGUUUUUAAGAUCCCUCAUAGCUUUUGUGAUGACAUUGAGAAGGCUAUUGCUCGUUUCUGGUGGGGUUCCUCUGAAACAAAAAGAAGCAUUCACUGGACAAGGUGGGAACGGUUGUGCCACGCCAAGAUAAGGGGGGGAUUGGGUUUUAGAGAUUUCUCUAGUUUUAACCAAGCCUUAAUUGCUAAGCAGGGGUGGAGAAUUCUGCAGCACCCUGACUCUUUAAUGGCAAAGAUUCUGAAAGCAAAAUAUUUUAAGCAUACUGGUUUUAUGGAUGCGAAAUUGGGUUCACACCCCUCUUUUGUUUGGAGAAGUAUAUUAUGGGGUAGGCAAGUGCUCCAUAACGGCCUAAGAUGGAGAAUCGGCUGUGGGAGUCAGGUUUUAAUUUCCAGUAGCAAUUGGAUAAAAAACCAUAAGCUUCACAGUUUGGUUCCAUAUUCAAAUCUACCUCCUGAAACUGUAGUUGUUGACCUUAUUGAUGAAAGUCACCAAUGGAAAGAAGAUAUGGUUUUCCAACAUUUUCCAAUGGAUGUUGCAAAGAGGAUCACAAGAACCCCUCUCCCAAAAACUCCCCAGCAGGAUCUUCUCAUUUGGAAAUAUGAUAAGCACAGAAUUUACUCGGUGAAGAGUGGGUAUCAAUUGGCUGUUAAGCAAAAAUUCCAAAAUUAUCCAAGUUGUUCAGAUGUUACCAAGUCAAGGUGGGAGGUGAUAUGGGCUACGGAUCUUCUAGGAAAAGUCAAGAUUUUUAUUUGGAGGGCUGCUCAAAAUCUUCUCCCUACAGUUGGAAAUCUAUGGAGGAGGAGGGUGGUGAAGGAUUAUUUUUGCCAAAGAUGUAAUUGCAGAGGAGAGGAUGUCUUCCAUGCUUUAAUAGAGUGCAGGGCAGCUAAAAGGGUUUGGAAGUUGACUGAAUUUUAUGAGGAUGUAAAGCAAUUAGCUCGGCAAGACAUGUUGAGUGUGCUGCAGGAUUUAGCUGUGAAGAGAAAAAAGAAUGAGCUGGAGCUUGUUGUUGCGGUGUGCUGGGCCAUCUGGUACUCUAGGAAUCGUUUGGUGUUUGAAGGAAAGGAAGAAGAUCCAAAAACUUCAGUGGCCAGAGCAAUUGCUAUGGUGGAAUCAUACAGGCGAAUAAAAGUUCCAAAUGAACAAAAUUCUCCAGGCCAUAGCAGAAUCAGUCAACUAGAAUGGGCAAAUCCUCCAAAGGGGUGUUAUAAAGUCAACGUUGAUGCUGCAAUUAAUGUUUCAAACCAAAAGGCAGGGUUGGGUGUAGUGUUUAAGAGUGACUAACUAUCCCAAUCAACUCAAAACACUUCCCAAGAUCACACCCAAACAAACAAGAUGUACCAAGAAUCAAUCCAGUAGAAUACACACAGAUUAUUAGAACUGAAAGAAUUAAAGAAAAGGACAAGAAUUAACGUGGUUCAGCUAGCUUCAGUCUAGCUUACAUCCACGGGAGAAACAGAACCCAAUUGUAUUGAUUGUUUAAAGGAGUUACAGAGAGUUCAUCAAGCUUGUUACAGAGUCUCUCAAGAAGCCUUUUGUUAUUAAUCUUCUCAACUCACAAUAGCUCUCUCUUCUUUUUUCUCAGUUGCCAGAAUCAGCUGUAUAUAACAGCUUGUUAACGAAUCAGCAACCAACCCAGAAACCCACGUGACAGUCAUGUGAGUUAACUGAUUCUAACGAACCAAGAACGCAACUUAUCCAUGCACGUGAAACUCUCGUGCAUCACUUAACCAAAACGACCUUCAUACAUGUCGUUCCAGGAGAUACGAGUUUGACUUUCCAAAACGCAGCAUCAGCUGACGUUUUCACAAACAGAUUUGCUUCACAUCACAACAAUUCUCCACCUUGAACAAAUCACUCUCUGAUCCUGAUUUCUCCAACCUGAGUAUUUAGAAUUCACUCAGCCCAGCUUUGUCCAAGCCGCUCUUGAACUUAGCUGUAGUUACAACCUUAGUAAGCAUGUCAGCAGGAUUAUCAUCUGUAUGCACUUUCACCAUGCUAAUCACACCUUUAGAGAUCACAUUUCUGAUAAAAUGUAACUUGAUAUCUAUGUGUUUAGUUUUUUCAUGGUGAGCUGGGUUCUUACUCAAGUAAAUUGCACUUGAGCUGUCACAAUGAACUUCCACAGUCUCCUGCUUCAUCCCCAGUUCUGUUAUCAACCCUCUCAGCCACAGAGCUUCCUUGACAGCUUCUGUUGCAGCAGUAUAUUCAGCCUCUGUUGUUGACAAAGCUACAACAUGCUGCAAUCUUGCCUUCCAGUUAACAAGGCAACCAUCCAAGAAAAACAUAUAGCCAGUUAAAGAUCUCCUUCUGUCUAAGUCCCCAGCAUAGUCUGAGUCAACAUAACCACAGAGACCUGCAAUCUUUCCAGCUGAUUUUCCAUAUACCAACCCAUACUGUUGUGUACCUUUCAGAUACCUCAGCACCCAUUUAACAGCCUUCCAGUGCUCCUUUCCAGGUGUAGCCAUAAACCUACUUACAACACUUAAAGCAUGAGCUAAGUCUGGUCUUGUAAGUACCAUUGCAUACAUCAUGCAACCAACAGCAUUUGCAUAAGGAACCUUUGUCAUUUCAUUCCUCUCUUCAUCUGUACUGGGGCAUUGUGAACAUGACAGCUUGAAGUGAGAUGCAAGAGGGGUUACUACUGACUUGCUGUUUGACAUCCCAAAAGUUCCCAGUACCUUCUCUAGAUACUUCCCUUGAGACAGAAUCAUAGUACCCUUCUUCCUGUUCCUUAUUAUUUCCAUACCCAAAAUCUUCCUAGCUGGACCCAAGUCUUUCAUAUCAAAUUCUGAAUUGAGCAGUUGCUUCAAAGCCUCAAUCUCUUCCCUUUCAUUACAAGCAAUCAACAUAUCAUCUACAUAUAACAGCAGAUAUAUGUAGUUGCCUGAUUGUAUGAUCUUGUAGUAAACACAUACAUCAUAGCUGCACCUUAGAUACCCAUGAGUGACCAUAAACUCAUCAAAUCUAAGGUACCACUGUCUGGGUGAUUGUUUCAGCCCAUACAGUGACCUCUUCAGCAGACACACACAGUCAGCAGAUUCAGGACUUGUGUACCCUUCAGGCUGUGUCAUCAAGAUGUCCUCAUUUAAUCUUCCAUGUAGAAAGGCUGUCUUGACAUUGAGUUGAUCAAGCUCCAUGUCUUUUACAGCUGUUAAAGCCAGUAGCACUCUGAUUGAUGUGUGUCUGACUACUGGUGAGAACACCUCUUUGAAAUCCACUCCAGCCCUCUGUGUGUAACCCUUGGCCACUAACCUAGCUUUGAAUCUUCUAGGUUCAGUAGCUGUUAGUCCAUCUUUGACUUUGUAGAUCCAUUUACAUCCUACUGUUCUGCUGUUGGCAGGUCUUUUAAUCAGCUCCCAUGUAUUGUUCUUCUUCAGUGAAUAGAUUUCCUCAUCCAUGGCCUUUUUCCACUCAUCUUUGUAUGGUCCCUGGAUAGCCUCUUUGUAGUUCUUGGGUUUAUCAUCAUCAAUUUGAUGAGAUGCUGUUAAUGCAUAGGCUAUCAGAUCUGCAUAUCCAUAUCUGACAGGUGCUUUUGCUUUCCUUCUUUCUCUGUCUCUUGUCAGCUGGUACUCCUGAUGCUGAGCUUCAGUCUGCUUUACAUGAUCAGUUUCUAGAUCAGUAGCUCCUUGAUAAGAGUCAUCUUCAUCUUCUGAAGCUUCUCUAGUGUAGGGCUCCACCUCAAACUGAAUCUUGGUUCUCUCCUUCUCCUUUGGUGUAUCUGUGUCAGUAGGUUUCUUCAUUUCCAGUGCAGCUUUCUCAUUGAAUAUUACAUCUCUACUGAUUAUGCACUUGGGGGGAUUAAGGUCUGUACACCACAGUUUGAAGCCUUUAACACCUUCAGGAUACCCAAUGAACUUUCCUUUAAGGGUUCUUGGAGCUAACUUCCCUUGGCUCACAUGUGCAUAAGCUGGACAUCCAAAUACUUUGAGGCUGCCAUAGUCUGCUGGUUUUCCAUGCCAUUUCUCAAAUGGGGUUUUGAAGUCAAGUGCUGCAGAGGGACUUAGAUUUACCAGAUAGCUUGCUGUUAACAGAGUCUCAGCCCACAAUCCUUUUGGAAGUUGUGACUGGAUCAUCAUGCUUCUUACUCUGUCCAUCAGGGUUCUGUUCAUUCUUUCGGCUAACCCAUUUUGUUGAGGAGUCAGCCUUACAGUUCUAUGCCUUGCAAUGCCAUGAUCUGCACAGUAGCUAUCAAACUCCUGAUUGCAAAACUCAAGACCAUUGUCUGUUCUGAGUUUCUUUACCUUCAAUCCAGUUUGAUUUUCAACCAGGGAUUUCCACUCUCUGAAUUUUCCAAAUACCUGAUCCUUGUGCUUUAAGACAUAAACCCAUACUCUCCUUGAAUAAUCAUCUAUUAAAGACAAGAAAUAGGUGUUGCCACCUAGUGACAUUGUCUGUGCUGGUCCCCAUAAAUCUGAGUGUAUGUAUUCAAGGAUGCCUUUUGUUGAAUGAACUGAUUUUCCAAAGCUACUUCUUGUAGCUUUGCCUAGUACACAGUCUUCACAAAAAUUCAGUUCUGAGAUUUGACUGCUGCCUAGAACCCCUUGCUUCUGUAAUUCUUUCAGACCUCUCAAGCUCAUAUGUCCUAAUCUAAGGUGCCACAGCAGAGUGUUAUCACAGCUUGAACUGAUUAACACUCCUGACACACCAGUUAUAGCUUCCCCAUUCAAAACAUAAACCCCAUUUCUCUUGUAACCUUUCAUAACUAUCCCAUCUUCAUUUGAAAUUCUCAGCUCACCAGAUUCAAGCUUAAUGCUAAGCCCCAUUUGGUCAAGCAUACCUAGAGAUAUUAAGUUCCUUUUAAGUUCAGGAACAUACCUAACUUCCCUUAAUUCUCUUAUUGUUCCAUCAUGCAAUUUUAGGUUUAUAUUUCCUAUCCCCGCAAUUUUACAAACAGCAUUGUUACCCAUCAUAACUUUUCCUCCAUCAGUUUCAUGAUAGUUUAAUAGGUAAUCUUUAAAGGGGCACAUAUGAAAUGUACAACCUGAGUCUAGAAUCCAGGUACCUUUUUGCACAUGCUCUGUAGCCACACAUACUCCUGCUGACUCAUACCCCUCUUCCUCAGCAGUAGCAGCAGCUCCAUUUUGUUCCCUUUUCUUGUUCUUGAGUUCUGGGCAAUCUCUCUUGAAAUGCCCUUCUUUCUGGCACUGAAAACAUUUCUUGCCUUUAGUCUUUUGUUUGUUGUUCCCUUGCUUCUUUUUCUUUCCAUCAUACUUAUCAGUUCUUGCUUUUACUGCCAAUACUUCUCCAGAGUUCAUAUUCCCUGACUUUUCUUGCAGCCCUCUAGUAUUCAGGGCAGCCUUAACUUCAUCCAAUGAUAAAGUCUGUCUCCCAUACAUGAGUGCAUCCACAAAGUUUGAAUAUGAGGAUGGAAGUGAACUAACCAGAAGCAAUGCUUUACCUUCAUCAUCUAAACCUUCAUCAAUUAUUUCCAAUGUAUCACAGACCUGAUUGAAUUCAUCAAUGUGGUCUUCGAGAGAUGACCCUUCAGCCAUCUUUAGUGUGAACAUUCUUUUCUUGAUGUAAAGUCUGUUGGCUAAUGAUUUAGUCAUAUACACCCUUUCAAGCUUUGCCCACAGAUCAGCCACUGUUCUUUCUCUUGCAACUUCCCUGAUCACCGAGUCUCCAAGACUCAAGAUUAUGGUACUCCUUGCCUUUUUGUCAAUCUCAGCAGCUUGUUGUGGUGUUAGUGAUGAUGAAGAUGUGGAGGCUUCUAAUCCUUCUUUCUUGAUGAUAGGUUCUAAGGCAUCACCUAGCCCUUGAGUGAUCAGUAAUGCCUCCAUUUUAACCUUCCACAUGUUGAAGUCAUUCUUCCCUGUAAACUUCUCUAGAUCGAUCUUUGAACCAACCAUACUUGUGUCUGAUUUGUAAUCCAAGCUCUGAUACCAAUUGUAGUGUUUAAGAGUGACUAACUAUCCCAAUCAACUCAAAACACUUCCCAAGAUCACACCCAAACAAACAAGAUGUACCAAGAAUCAAUCCAGUAGAAUACACACAGAUUAUUAGAACUGAAAGAAUUAAAGAAAAGGACAAGAAUUAACGUGGUUCAGCUAGCUUCAGUCUAGCUUACAUCCACGGGAGAAACAGAACCCAAUUGUAUUGAUUGUUUAAAGGAGUUACAGAGAGUUCAUCAAGCUUGUUACAGAGUCUCUCAAGAAGCCUUUUGUUAUUAAUCUUCUCAACUCACAAUAGCUCUCUCUUCUUUUUUCUCAGUUGCCAGAAUCAGCUGUAUAUAACAGCUUGUUAACGAAUCAGCAACCAACCCAGAAACCCACGUGACAGUCAUGUGAGUUAACUGAUUCUAACGAACCAAGAACGCAACUUAUCCAUGCACGUGAAACUCUCGUGCAUCACUUAACCAAAACGACCUUCAUACAUGUCGUUCCAGGAGAUACGAGUUUGACUUUCCAAAACGCAGCAUCAGCUGACGUUUUCACAAACAGAUUUGCUUCACAUCACAACAUUGGGGGUAGUCAUUAGAAACUCUGUGGGUAAGGUUGUUGCUGCAGCAGUCCAAAGAGCUCCAUAUAGGGGAGAUGUGGCGUGUAUGGAGGUUGAAGCUGUUCUGUUUGGUAUUCAGAGUGCCCAACAAGCAGCUGUUUUCCCAAUAAUUAUUGAGUCGGAUUCAAAGGAAGUGGUGGAUCUAUCCUUAAAGAAAAAGAUCAGCAAGACUGAAAUUGAGUGGAAAAUUGCAGAAAUCCAAGCAAAUCUGGAAAAUCAGAAUGUGUCCUCGCUGUCAUAUGUCCCUAGAAGCUGUAACUCUAUUGCUCAUUCUAUUGCAAAGAUAGCUCUAGGUUUUGAAAGUCAAGUCUUUUGGCUGGAAAACUUUCCAGAACAUAUCAGGUGUACUCUUGCUAAGUUCAUCAAUUGAAAAGCUUUACUUUGCUCAUCAAAAAAAAAAAAAAAAAAAAACUCCAGUGGCUGCAUCCACUGGAAAAAGUGGAUGAGAACCAUUUUUUUUUCAUAAAGGUAACUACUCACAUAAUUGAUGGUGCUUAAAUCAAUUUUUUUUUUAAUUUAAAGAAUUUUGCUUUAAAAAAUAAUUAAUAUCAAAAUGCCUUCAAUGUUGUUACCCUCACAAGCCCAGUUAGAGGACUCAUUAAAAAUUUUAGAAUUUUCAGGCCUGGAAAGCGUAGUAUUAAACAUCAGAAAGCAAAGGUUUUUAUGUCGAAGAAUUGAUGUCGACAAAAUUUUAUUUUAGUUUUUGGGAAAAAAAAUAUUUUGUUGACAAGCAAGAAAAUAUUUUUUAUACUUUACAAUCUGCCUUCUCUCUCAUUGUCUCUCACUAUUUCACGAUCUCUCUCUCACUCACACAGGCAAUGACCAUCUCAUCAUCGGCGUUCGUGUCGUCAGUGUCACUGGUCUUGCUCGACCGAGACAGUGAGAGAGAGGUUUGUUAGAUGGAGUGAUGAUAAAGGAUUCUAUUUUUUUUAUUAAUAUUUUAAUUUUUAAAAUUAAAAUGUGCUGCCGUUUCUCUUGUCUUUUUAGCUGUUUAGCAGCACUCUUUUCAAAAUUUAAGAAUGUAGGUGUCCUAUAAGAGAUCGAUAAAAGAACGUCAAUUAAAUUUAUAAAAAUAUGAUAAAAGAACGUCAAUUACUUGUCUUUUAGGGAAUCCAAUGAGAAAUAUGAUAAAAGAACGUCAAUUACUUGUCAUUUUCAAUUUUUUUCUGUAAGCUAUUUAUUUUGAGCAUUAGUGCUCUUGUCUGGACUACUCCAAUUAUUGACGUAACUCCAGUGGCUGCAAUUAAUGAUAUAAAGCUGAGACUUUUGACCAAGUUAUCUAGUUGGGAAAGCAAAUUUUUUUCCAGUGGGGGCAAAGAAGUGUUGAUUAAAACUGUUGCUCAGGCUGUGCCAGUCUAUGCAAUGAGUGUUUUUAAGAUCCCUCAUAGCUUUUGUGAUGACAUUGAGAAGGCUAUUGCUCGUUUCUGGUGGGGUUCCUCUGAAACAAAAAGAAGCAUUCACUGGACAAGGUGGGAACGGUUGUGCCACGCCAAGAUAAGGGGGGGAUUGGGUUUUAGAGAUUUCUCUAGUUUUAACCAAGCCUUAAUUGCUAAGCAGGGGUGGAGAAUUCUGCAGCACCCUGACUCUUUAAUGGCAAAGAUUCUGAAAGCAAAAUAUUUUAAGCAUACUGGUUUUAUGGAUGCGAAAUUGGGUUCACACCCCUCUUUUGUUUGGAGAAGUAUAUUAUGGGGUAGGCAAGUGCUCCAUAACGGCCUAAGAUGGAGAAUCGGCUGUGGGAGUCAGGUUUUAAUUUCCAGUAGCAAUUGGAUAAAAAACCAUAAGCUUCACAGUUUGGUUCCAUAUUCAAAUCUACCUCCUGAAACUGUAGUUGUUGACCUUAUUGAUGAAAGUCACCAAUGGAAAGAAGAUAUGGUUUUCCAACAUUUUCCAAUGGAUGUUGCAAAGAGGAUCACAAGAACCCCUCUCCCAAAAACUCCCCAGCAGGAUCUUCUCAUUUGGAAAUAUGAUAAGCACAGAAUUUACUCGGUGAAGAGUGGGUAUCAAUUGGCUGUUAAGCAAAAAUUCCAAAAUUAUCCAAGUUGUUCAGAUGUUACCAAGUCAAGGUGGGAGGUGAUAUGGGCUACGGAUCUUCUAGGAAAAGUCAAGAUUUUUAUUUGGAGGGCUGCUCAAAAUCUUCUCCCUACAGUUGGAAAUCUAUGGAGGAGGAGGGUGGUGAAGGAUUAUUUUUGCCAAAGAUGUAAUUGCAGAGGAGAGGAUGUCUUCCAUGCUUUAAUAGAGUGCAGGGCAGCUAAAAGGGUUUGGAAGUUGACUGAAUUUUAUGAGGAUGUAAAGCAAUUAGCUCGGCAAGACAUGUUGAGUGUGCUGCAGGAUUUAGCUGUGAAGAGAAAAAAGAAUGAGCUGGAGCUUGUUGUUGCGGUGUGCUGGGCCAUUUGGUACUCUAGGAAUCGUUUGGUGUUUGAAGGAAAGGAAGAAGAUCCAAAAACUUCAGUGGCCAGAGCAAUUGCUAUGGUGGAAUCAUACAGGCGAAUAAAAGUUCCAAAUGAACAAAAUUCUCCAGGCCAUAGCAGAAUCAGUCAACUAGAAUGGGCAAAUCCUCCAAAGGGGUGUUAUAAAGUCAACGUUGAUGCUGCAAUUAAUGUUUCAAACCAAAAGGCAGGGUUGGGUGUAGUGUUUAAGAGUGACUAACUAUCCCAAUCAACUCAAAACACUUCCCAAGAUCACACCCAAACAAACAAGAUGUACCAAGAAUCAAUCCAGUAGAAUACACACAGAUUAUUAGAACUGAAAGAAUUAAAGAAAAGGACAAGAAUUAACGUGGUUCAGCUAGCUUCAGUCUAGCUUACAUCCACGGGAGAAACAGAACCCAAUUGUAUUGAUUGUUUAAAGGAGUUACAGAGAGUUCAUCAAGCUUGUUACAGAGUCUCUCAAGAAGCCUUUUGUUAUUAAUCUUCUCAACUCACAAUAGCUCUCUCUUCUUUUUUCUCAGUUGCCAGAAUCAGCUGUAUAUAACAGCUUGUUAACGAAUCAGCAACCAACCCAGAAACCCACGUGACAGUCAUGUGAGUUAACUGAUUCUAACGAACCAAGAACGCAACUUAUCCAUGCACGUGAAACUCUCGUGCAUCACUUAACCAAAACGACCUUCAUACAUGUCGUUCCAGGAGAUACGAGUUUGACUUUCCAAAACGCAGCAUCAGCUGACGUUUUCACAAACAGAUUUCGUUCACAUCACAACAUUGGGGGUAGUCAUUAGAAACUCUGUGGGUAAGGUUGUUGCUGCAGCAGUCCAAGGAGCUCCAUAUAGGGGAGAUGUGGCGUGUAUGGAGGUUGAAGCUGUUCUGUUUGGUAUUCAGAGUGCCCAACAAGCAGCUGUUUUCCCAAUAAUUAUUGAGUCGGAUUCAAAGGAAGUGGUGGAUCUAUCCUUAAAGAAAAAGAUCAGCAAGACUGAAAUUGAGUGGAAAAUUGCAGAAAUCCAAGCAAAUCUGGAAAAUCAGAAUGUGUCCUCGCUGUCAUAUGUCCCUAGAAGCUGUAACUCUAUUGCUCAUUCUAUUGCAAAGAUAGCUCUAGGUUUUGAAAGUCAAGUCUUUUGGCUGGAAAACUUUCCAGAACAUAUCAGGUGUACUCUUGCUAAGUUCAUCAAUUGAAAAGCUUUACUUUGCUCAUCAAAAAAAAAAAAAAAAAAAAAACUCCAGUGGCUGCAUCCACUGGAAAAAGUGGAUGAGAACCAUUUUUUUUUCAUAAAGGUAACUACUCACAUAAUUGAUGGUGCUUAAAUCAAUUUUUUUUUUAAUUUAAAGAAUUUUGCUUUAAAAAAUAAUUAAUAUCAAAAUGCCUUCAAUGUUGUUACCCUCACAAGCCCAGUUAGAGGACUCAUUAAAAAUUUUAGAAUUUUCAGGCCUGGAAAGCGUAGUAUUAAACAUCAGAAAGCAAAGGUUUUUAUGUCGAAGAAUUGAUGUCGACAAAAUUUUAUUUUAGUUUUUGGGAAAAAAAAUAUUUUGUUGACAAGCAAGAAAAUAUUUUUUAUACUUUACAAUCUGCUAUACAUAUUUUAUCAUAUUAAAGUAAUUUUAAUAAUAUAUGGAAACAUAAUAUUUUAAUAAAUAAAUUAAAAUUACUUUGAAUUAUUGAAUAUUACAAAAAGAUAAUUUUAAUAUUAUUAAUAGGAAAACAUUUUUUAAUUGUAAAAUCUUUUUAAUACAAAAAUUCAUUUAAAAUCUUUAUAAUAAAUACAAAUAUAAAAUUAAAAAAUAUUAUAAUUUAAAAUUUUUAAUAGUAUUUAAAUAUUAAAAAUACUUUAAUAUUAUUAAUCUACUACAUCAAAUAUAUUAUUUAUAUUAUAUUCGUAUUGAUUAAAACGUUUUAAAGUCAAAUUUUUAAUUAGUGUAUUCAAAGGUACAAAAGAUUUUAGUAUUAUUUUUUAAAAAUUUCAGGAUAUGAAUGUUAAUUUUUUUCAAAUUUUAAAGAUGUAAAAAUCUUUUUUUCUGAUAAUUUAUUUCACUUUUGAGAGAAUCCGAAAACGUUAAUUUAACAUUCUUUACCUUUGUGAAAAAAGUGAAAAUCAAGAACUAUUCAAUUUUGUUUUUAUUUGUAAUUCAAAAACUUUAUUCAUUUUGGAUGCUUUUCAAAAGAGAUUCCUUUAAAUCCUUUUGGUGUCUGCAGCUCCUGCUAUUCUCAUAAGUCUCCAUCCCACAUCUACACUAUCAAACAAGUUGAUGGAAAUUCUUAUAAAAAAAAAAAAAAAGUCGAUGGAAAUUGAUCAAUUGCUUUUUGAAAUGGACCCAUUGAGUCAUGUUCAUUUCUGGUCAUUGUCUACUCUUUCUAUCAGCCAUUAAUUUUGACCAUUUGCGAUCUUAUCUGGACCAACUCCAAUUAUUUAUGUAACGAACUCCAAAGGUUGCAUCUACAGUUGAAUGUAAGAUAGCGAAGGCUCUUCUUUGAGAAAAUAGAGGAACCUUUCUCUGUUUCUCCGUUGCAACGUGCUCAUAUAAAUUUCUUUACCUUACAGUUUAUACGGUCUUGCUGUUAAUGAAUUCGCUGAGGCAUUAUUGAUCCAAUCUGAGUGAAGUAAUUGUGGCUGAAAAAUAAAUAAAGGAUAUGAGAACGUAGCUGAAGUGCUGAAGGGGCUAUUAAAGAAGAGUGUCACUUGAUCACAAUCACAUUGAUGCACAACUCACUCGUGGCAAAUUUCGACUAUACGUACUGCAAAUUCAGCCAAACCAUACAUGCAUGAACAAAACAUCUUCUCUAAACUAAAAAGCCCACAUCUCUAAAAUCAAUCUACAUAAUGUUGGAGAUGAGGGGUGAAUUGUUAACUCAGUAAAAAAAAAAAACUCAUGCAUAAGAUUACUAAUAAUAUAAAUUAUAUAUUAAUCAUUAUAAAGAAUCAUAAAUUAGAAAAAUUAAUCAUUUUAUAAUUUAUUACACAAGUAUGAUAAAUCUUAUAAUAAGUUAUAACAUAAAAAAACGUUAUCAAUAAAUAAUCAUUUAAGAAGUCAUUUAACAAUAAAAUCGUUCUUUGAUCAGUUGGUCAUGUCACAUAGUAUCAUCUAUAUUUAUGGUGAUAAUAUUAUUACUUAGUAUUAUCAAAAAACAUGAUUUAACAUUUAGAGGAAAUUCUUGCCUUUUAAAAAAAACAUGUAUGCAACAGCUACCCAUGCUUUAUCUUACCAUGACAAAUAUUUUCUCAAUGAAAGAAUUUUUUUUUAAAAUUGAUUUAAUGCACAAAUAUGAUGAUUUUUGCCAAAAAUUAAUUUUGGAAAACAUAGUGAGAGAAAAUAGUGACGAUUAUUGUUUAGAUGUAUAAAUAGCCUAAACAUAAUCCUUAAUACCAGUAUCCAUGUGCAUCUUAGCAUCUUUUAUGAUAUUCUUUCAUUUAUGUCCAUUGGUUCAAGAUUUGAAUUUGAUCAUUAAAUCAUAUUCAAUAAUAUUAGAGAUUCCAAAAAUUGAGUACCAACUUAAAUCCCAAUGUUAUGUUUCAUUGACCAAUGUCGUGUCAUUUUCUUAUUAACUAGGUGAUGAAUUUCUAGUUGAUAAAAUCACUUAAAAAUAUCUUAAAAAUCAGACAAUAGUUUGCUUAAUUUUUCCAAGUUAACUGCUCAAGAUGCUCUAUUAUAAAUGAUAACCUAAUUAUAUUCAUAAAAAAUGAUAUAUUUUUUGUGGUGUUGAUAAUGAGAUUAUCAUUCAACAUUUUAAAAUGUGAAAACAUAUGGAAGAUGGUUGUAAAUUGAUUGAAUGAAAAUAUUUCAGUGAAGUCUCAAAAAUUUGGUACUUGUUGUCUUAUCGAAAGUUUUCUAAAUUAUAUUCGUGGCACAGCCACUAUCCAAACCAUACAAGUCCAAAGCUAUCCAAACCAUACCUGCAAGUCCGGGGCUUAAAUGGAGUACUUCUAAGCAAAAAAACAUUGACUAAAAUAGAAUAUAUACAUACAGACACACAUACAUACCAGCAUAUUCAAAAUAGCAAAAGGAGUGCAAAGUUCAAGUUUGUAGACAACAUUGCAACCAUAGCAUGUUUAUAGCAAAUCCUCAAAAUCUGCUAAAUAAAACAAUGCCCUGUCUCAUGAAUCAAUGCUGAAUUAAAAUUGAAACUGAAAGUCUGGAUGGUGUUGUUUGUUGAGAAUGUCAAAUAAAACGGCAUUGAAGGAAGUUUUCAAAGGCAGAAUCCGCACUUGUCAAAGGGAUGAUCUGCACUUGUCAAAGACACGAUCCGCGCUGAACGGAUCGACACAUUUCCUUCCGUAUUCACAUAUGUAAUCUUUGAAAAAAUAUAGCUUCUGCAUCUAUAAAUAACGCUCAAUGUAUAAUGUUUUAUUCAAGAAAUAAAAACAAGUUUCUACAUGGUAUCAGAGCCAUGAAUGCGCUCAAGUUUCUUCAAGUUUCGUUGCUCUGUUUGUCACAAAAACAGAGGAAACCAAAUUCGUCCCACAACCAUUUUUUCCACCAUUUUCUUCCUUAAAAUCAUUCCUAACAUUACAGAAAUCCAUGCCGAUCAAAAAACAUGAAAGACAAAUUACACAUGUGCAGUAACCAAUGAUCAUAUUUCGUUACUGUCAAACACAAUGCAUCUGAGCAAAACAUUGGAAGCCAACACCAGAAUACAUAUGAAUAAACAAUUAAAGAUAGAGAAAAAAGGCUUAAACCUUGGGGGAAAAAAGUGAAAAAACAUGAAAGACAAAUUACACAUGUGCAGUAACCAUCGAACUUAUCAGUGACAGCUGCAUCUAUUACAUUGCUCCAACAACACAAUGGCAAACCACCAGUUUCAAAUUGAGGAUAGCUAUCGAGAAUGAGAAAGUGUCCAAAACGUCAUAAAUAGACAUGUUCCUAUUGUGCAUAAUUUACAUUAUAGGCAAAUAUUCUUAUACCAUCAAUGGCAAAACAUGACACUAACAAUUGAUCCCCCCAACACCCCCCCCCCCCACCAACCAAAAAAAAAAAGGAAAUAACAAUACAGAAAAGAUUGAAACAGAUAAGGCUACACUGAGCACAGGAUGCCAUGAAACAUAAUCCAGGAACCAAAUUAAUAAAAAAGGAAGCCAAACCAUUAUUUAACAAUCUGUUUUGUAUUUGGGAAAGUCUGAUAAAAUCUACUUAGGGAUAAUUAGAGAACUUCAACUAUUAAUCACACCUCAUAAAUGAACUAACAUUAACCAUCUACCAUCCCCACGUCACACAAACAUUCUCUAUACUUCUGAACCUAAUACUUCCAUCUUCAAUUGGGGGGUUUUUUUCUUUUUUCUUUUUUUUGGGGGGGGGGGGGGGGGGGGGGGGAAGCUAUCAAUUUUCUAAGCUUGCUUAGCUUCUGUGUGGGAUUGAAAUGCUGAUUUCGAAUCACUAACAGUAAAAUUGGAAGCUCAUGAGAAAAUAGAGAAAGACCUAAUGUUGAGUCCUUUGGCGCAUGUCUCUUCAUAGGUCCGAACCAUUUCUUCGGGCGUGGGUUACGGCCGAGAUUGGAUAAUGAUGGAGGAGGAGAAAAUAGAUAAUGAUUGCACUAAUUUUCUAGAUGAAUUUUUUCCUACAUGCUUGUUCCCGAAUGACCCAAAAUCCUGCUACAUCAGUUGUAUUAGAAAUUAAUCAACUGGGUUACAAUUAUGCAUCCCCACCAAUAUUUAAGCAAUUUACAGAAACAUUUCUUGAGGAAAAAAACUCAUAUCGCCACUAGGCUUUUAAUGAGGCUCAUUUUUAUGAAUUUGGAUGGCAUUAGAUAUCUCUCCAAAUAUUGGUGGGAGUAGAUCGCAGAUCUCUGGGCUAUACUACAAAGUGUAUGUACGUUGACUCUCAAUAAAUACAAACGAUUCUCUGAUAUGAUUCAAAACAUCAGUACAUGCAUCAUUUUAAUGAGAAAGAAUAUUCUAAGAACGAAAUUGAAGGUGCAAUCAGCAGCUAAAAUGAAGCCAGAAAUGUACACGCAUGAGGAACUUUUCCUAGAAGAUUGAUAUUUCUUUGACUAGCAAACCACACACGUCAAAGCUAGCCAAACCAUACCUGCAUGUCGGGGGUUUAAAUGGAGUACUUCUAAGCAUAAAACAUUGAUUAAAACAGAAUACACACAUACAUACCAGCAAAUUCAAAAUAGCAAAAGGAGUGCAAAAGUUCAAGUUUGUAGACAACAUUGCAACCAUGGCAUGUUUAUAGCAAAUCCUCGAAAUCUGCUAAAUAAAACAAUGCCAUGUCUCAUGAAUCAAUGCUGAAUUAAAAUUGAAACUGAAAGUCUGGCUAGCGAUGUUUCCCUCUCCAAUUUUGCCUACAUAAGUGAAAAUAAGAAUAAUAAAUGAAAAUCUGCUUUGACAGUUCUUAUUAGAUAGAUAUAAAAAGAUCUUUCUUUGUUUCUCUGCAGCAAUCUGUGGCUAUCCCACUCUGUUUUGCCAGUCAAGCUGCGGCCUCAAUUAGUUUGGCACUUUUAUGACCUCCUUGAAGGUUUUACGAUAAACAUAAAUCUACUGACAAAGUGGGCAAAAAGAAAAUGUAUAUAAAAGUAUGAGUUAUCAGAUAAGAUUAAAACUCACCCAAUUCAAUCCAUCAGAUUCCGUAAGGAUAUAACUGGAUGUCAUACCGCCACUCUAUAUUCUUGAAAGUCCGUAGUGUUUGUCUCAACUGUGUCUGGGGCCAGUGUAAGUCCAAUUUGCGCAAGCUCUCUAUGCACCACAGCUCUUCUGGAAGCUUUCUCAAGUAAGCACAUGGGUUGACAAUUAAGCUUUCAAGUUUCGGCAUUGCUCCAGCCCCCAUCGUCCACUCAUCUAGCCAAUACAUUGAUUUCAGGUGCAAAACCUUAAGUUCGGGAAAGCUACUCAAGCCAACACAAGCAAGCUUUCUUCCUAAAUACGAGUUCUGCUUCAGUUUCAGCACUCGAAGGAGUGGAAGAUUUUCCAGAAUUGGCAUGGGAUCCUCCAUUAGCUCAGUAUUUGAUAAGCUCAGUUGGAUCAGACUUGGGGGAAAUUGGUAUUCAGACAGGACCAUCCGUGAGGGCUUGCUCUCAUUCACCAGCUUCAAGCAUUCAAGUUUGUGGAGUUCGCAAAGGCUUUUGGAAACCCCAGAUUGAUAGUAACUCAAAUCUCCAGAUAUCCGAAGAGUCUGAACACUAGGUAGUCUGCCCAAUAUAUCAGGAGUACAACUACUAGGGUUUAAAGCUGAUAUGAAAAUGAGAUUUUUCAGAGAGCUAGAAUAAUUUUUUGGAGGUGCGGGCAGAGUGAUAGAACCAAAGUUUAGAUGCAUGAGUUUUUGCAUCAUCCAAAUAUCCUCUGGUGACUGAUCUAUGUAGCUAGAUGGCAUUUCUAGUGUUUCAAGGUUUAAAAGGGUGCAUAGCAGUGAAGGAAGGCAUUUGGGCGAAGGGAUAUUCAAUUUCAAAUACUUCAAAAGGAAUGAAUUUUCUAAUCCGGGUGGAUAUUGGUCCAGGACUGCAGAACCCAUGUUCAAUACCCGAAGGUAUUUGAACCUUUUAAAAAAAUUCUCGCAAUCUUUCGAAUUAAGAUGAUUGCUUUUUGAACUGUGAUUCAGAAA